This 64563-nucleotide long non-coding RNA is filed under the name Citrus maxima (pomelo). Its description in RNAcentral is "long non-coding RNA (CMAX_LNC002660)". The record is from RNAcentral. Lineage: Eukaryota; Viridiplantae; Streptophyta; Magnoliopsida; Sapindales; Rutaceae.
AUAGAUAAUAUAUUUUUCAUCAUUAAAAACACUUCUCAAUUAUUACAUUGUUAAAACAAGGAACAAGAAAGAAACUACAAUGAAGGUAGUAUAUGAGAUAAUGUCGUAAGACUCAAUUCACUUGUGUACAUUCUAGUUUAACCACACCAACUUUCUUUCUGUAUAAUUAAUAUUUCAUACUUUAAAAGUCAACUCUUUUUUGUCCCUUCUUUUCUCAAAUUCCUUAAACUAAAAGUUAAAACAUUUCUUCACUCUUAUAGACUGAGAGUAAUUAGCCAGAAGUAAAAUCAAUAGGGGUUGAUUUGAUUUGUCAAUGUUCAAGCUGGAUGCUUUAGAUAAUUGAUUUUUUAGCAGCUUACCUACCUCAGGGGGGAUUUGAAGCAAACAGGAUAUUUUACCUAUCUGUGCCGCAAGAAGCACUUCUGGAUGUUGCAUCCACUCUUGCCAUCUGUGCCCAAACCCAGAAGGGCUGGAACCGUAUAAUAAUUGAGAAACCUUUUGGGUUUGAUGCACUGUCUUCUCAUUGGCUGACAAAAGCUCUUCUUUCCAAGUUCCAGGAGAAGCAACUAUACAGGUGAAUAAUCACAUUAGCUAUACUAAUGUAUUUGUGCACACGCAUUCAGUUUUAACUUUCUUACUUCUUCAAUUUUUCAGGAUAGAUCAUCUUCUGGGGAGGAAUCUCAUUGAGAACCUUACAGUAUUAAGGUUCUCUAAUCUAAUUUUCGAGCCAUUAUGGAGCCGAACAUACAUCCGCAGUAUACAGGUAAUUUUGUUUUUUCUCUAAAUGCAAUGACAUUCACUUGUGCAGCUAAUGAUAGCCACUACCUGUUUGAAUUUUCAUGCAGGUCAUUUUGUCAGAAGAGAUGGGUGUGCAGUCUGGAAGGUACUAAAUACUAAUAAUUCAUUUUAUCUUCACUAACAAAGCCAAUUAUCUUAUCCUCAUGUCAUUCUACGGUAUCAAUAUCAUGUUGUGUAAUUUUUCGGUUAUAUGAGGUAUUUUGAUGGUUAUGGGAUCAUCCGAGACAUAGUGCACAGUCAUAUACUCCAAACCAUAGCAUUGCUUGCUAUGGAGCCCCCCAUAAGUCUCAAUGGUGAAGAUAUCCGGAAUGAAAAGGUACCUUCUGUUUUUGUGAGAUGAUCUAUUUUAUUCAAAAUCAAUUUGGUUAAUCUUUUGUGUGUAAUGCACAAGUAAGAAUAUAGUUGAUUCUAGCCUUGAGUAGGGGUGAUUUUGUAAACUUAUGUAUGGCACAAAUAGUCCUUUUUAUUCUCUUAGUGGACUGGUGGUCCAUUAUCAGUUUUAAAUCUUCUUUAUUACUACAUUCUUGAGUUUGUUAUUAAAAAAAAAAAAGGCACAAGCAAGAUUAGAAAGCACAGGUAAUCUAUUUCCACUGUCCUACGGCAGUGAAGUUGAGGAAUAUACUUGUUAAAUUGCUAACUUUUUGUAGAUGUCCCUAACUUCAUGUGUCUUAUUGAAUCUGGUGAAAGGUAUAAAGGCAUCAGUUUAUCAAGUUGCAGCUUAUGUGAAUGUGAUUGUAAAAACAAAAGAUGAGUUCAGAAAAUCCUUAGGAAGAAAGUUAAUAAUUCUUAUGAGAUGGAGCUCAGAUUCUUGUAUCCAUGUGAGCACAAUUUUAAUAGAACUUAGUGGUUUUUCAACCAAAAAGGUUGCGGGCCAGCAUGCAAUGAUUUUGCUUUUGCAGAGGCAAUUUUAUAUAGCCUAAUUCUUAUGAAAUCUUCGUAGAAGGUAUUAUAUUUGUUUUUAGGGGAAGGACAUCUAGUCCAACUUUCUCUGUAAAGUUUUUUAUACUAAUAAAUAUUCUGUUUCUAACCCCUACCUCCUCAAAAAGUGAAAAAUGAAUACAACAAAAAUUUGGUUGCAUGUGGUCAUGUUGAUAAGAAGCUUUAUUCAUUUCAGGUCAAAGUUUUGAGGUCAAUCCGCAGAUUGGAGCCAAGCAAUGUCAUUCUUGGCCAAUAUAAAGCUACUUCUGAUGACAAGGUUGAUGUUAAAUUGAACAGCCUGACCCCCACAUAUUUUGCUGCUGUAUUAUACAUUGACAAUUCACGUUGGGAUGGCAUGCCUUUUCUAAUAAAAGCUGGCAUGGGACUAAUUAAACACAGGUAAUAGCUAUUUCAGUUCUGCUGGUUUUGCCUUAAUAGACAUUGUCGUGGUUUGUACUUUGCCAGAUUAUGAUAGGAACCUAGAACACACCCUUAAAAAGCCGGCUUGUAAGGGAAGUGUAACCAUCAGCUUAUAUUUCCAUUUACGGCUUAUAAUAUUUCUAAAAAUAUUGAAUUAAGAAACAAAUUCAAGAGAGGAAAUUAUGACAUUAACCCGUCAGUCUGUCUUGUUUCAAUUCCAAGAACAGUACAAACAAGAAUUCUUCAAUGGAUUAGUGUGUAAUACCUGCAAUGGGUACCGCUGUCCAUUUUUUCCAGAUAGCCAUCACUUUGUAUCAUGCAUAAACAAUUAAAUUAUGCAUGUAACAUAACCAACUGUUGGUAUAAUUGAGUGAAAAUGAUUUUUUCUUUUUUUCUUUUUAAUUUGUAUAGCAAACUGUGGUUACAGAUUUUUGUGAUAAAGUGCAGCCAACAACUUAGAUAAGCAUAUCUUGUGUAGGUUUCAUCUUGUAAGUUGUUCCGACAAUUCAUGGGCAUCUCCUAGUCUUUGACGUUUUGAUUGUUCAUAUGGAUCUCAUUCCAUGACAACUCAAAAUAAAUAAUAAAUAAAUGCAUGGCUUAAACCAACAUUUUUUUUUUGGGCAAUAUGGGAUGUGCUCACCAACGUUAGCCAUAUAAUGCAGAGUGGAGAUACGCAUACAAUUUCGUCAUGUUCCGGGAAACAUCUAUCAUGAUCGUUUUGGGCAUAACAUCAACCUUGCCGCAAAUGAAUUAAUAUUACGUGAUGUGCCUGAUGAGGCCAUUCUAGUCAGAGUCAACAACAAAGUGCCAGGAUUAGGCUUGCAAUUGGAUGCUUCAGAGCUUAAUUUGCUCUAUAAGGAUAAGUAAGCACUUCAGCUUUUGGAACUUGUUCUGUUUUUGCUAUUCACUUGUCGUCACCUUUGAUAUCCUUCAUGUGCUUGCCUUUUGUGUUAAUACUGUAGGUAUAAUGCAGAGGUGCCUGAUUCAUACGAACAUCUUCUUCUUGAUGUUAUUGACGGCGACAACCAUCUCUUCAUGAGAAGCGAUGAGCUUACUGCUGCAUGGAAUAUUUUAAACCCAGUUUUACAAGAAAUAGACAAGAACAAUAUUGCACCAGAACUUUACGAGCUGGGUGGUAGAGGUCCCGUUGGAGCAUAUUAUCUUUGGGCGAAACACGGGGUUCAGUGGACCGAAGAUUAGAGGCAACACUUCUUAUAGGGUAAUCUUGCUAAUCUUUCCACAACUAAGACGAAUAAAUGGUAACUUUGUACAUGUAAAUUGUAUGAAAUUAGGGUUGAGAAAUGCCUAUCUGUAUUCAGAGGAUAAUUCUCAAGAGCAUAAACCCCUAAUUGAAAUUGGAUUUUUCUUGUAGAUGAUUUGGGUUAUGCUCGCAAACGAUGUGCUGAAAGCGUGCAUCGGAGUCAAAAAGUACCUUAAACUUCAUUUUGUAAUGAACAAAUGAUGGAUGGUUAUUUGCUUGUUUUAAUAUGAAGAUUUGUGUAUGGUUAUUUGUUAUGUGUGAUCAAAGAGUAAGCUUUUGCUAGAUUGUACAUAAAUUGUUGAUGAUGAUGGAUAUCCGUUGGUGGUUUUGGGUAAAUGUGUCUGAUACCUAGAUUCUCUUUGACUAUUAAGAAAGGGGAGGAUAUGAAAAAGAGAAGCUAUCGAAAUAGAUUUACACUAUCUUAUUGUAGUAGGUUAUUUUUUAAUAUUUGUCCUAGUACAGUACGACACUCAAAUUGUAGGAGACUUAUAGAGGUUCUUCUCAAGCAUGCUUUUUGGUGAGUGAAUUUGAUACCACUGAAGUGAAAUGCCUAUCUGUAUUCAGAGGAUAAUUCUCAAGAGCCUAAACGCCUUGCUGAAAUUAGGUUUUUCUUGUAAAGGUGAUUUGGGUUAUGCUCACAAACGAUGUGCUAAGAGUUGGUUCAAGGUCAUGGGCAGCAUGCGUGUGAGUCAAAAAGCACCUUAACUUUCAUUUUCUAAUGAACAAAUGAUGGAUGCCCGUUUGCUUGUUUUAAUAUUAAGAUGUGUGUCAGGUUAUUUUGCCAUCUGUGAUCAAAGAGUAAUCUUUUGCUAAAUUGUACAUAAAUUGUUGAUGGUGAUGGAUACCCUUUGGUGGUGGUUUUGAGAAAAUGCGUCUGAUCCGAGAUUCUCUUUGACUAUUAACAAAGGGGAGGAUACCACAAUACCCAACCGAGUUUGAAAGAUUGAUUCGAGAACAAAAAAAUUCUACCUGACACAUCGAAAUUCGAACGAAAGUUUAGCUAGCAACAAUAUGAGCCUGUUUGAUUCCCAAAUAAAAUCAAGUUAAUACAGUAAAGUGCAUUUUCAUUCUCAUCACUUCAAUUUCAAGCCUAAAAGCCAGUCAACAGACAAUAACUUGAGAUCACAAAUGCUGGGGAAAUUAAAAAAAACCACUGACCACUGACCAACACACAUUAAAGCAGAGCAAAUAACAAUGAAAAUUGCUUGAAUCGGUGCAAUUCACUAGAUUAAUCCAUAAUUUUUCUCAUUUCAUAAGUCAAUAAGCAUAAAACUUUUGUUGGAGGAAAAAAAAAUCUGCAUCACAAGAUUAAAGAUAAUUUGAAGAUUUGAAUUACUGAAAUACCAAUUCAAGAAAGCUGAACAUUGUUAACAGCUAUCUCAUAAUCAAUAGCCAUCACAUAAUCAACAUUAUCGUAUAAAAGAAAAGGAAAGAAAAAAAAUCCUAUCAUGUGACCUUUAAUAAAUAAAACCAUUUUACAUACUUAAAACCAAAUAAUGAAGGGAAAGAAACAAUUUAAAACAUAACCCACCAAAUAAUAAAAGACUUAAAAACAAUAGCCUCAACUCCUUAACUAUGUGGGACUUUUAACUUUUAAUCAGCAGAUCACAUAAGAGAAACGAAAGCUUAAGAUUUUUUUUUUUAAAAAAUAAACAGUUUAAUGCGUAGCUCACUAAAUAAUAGAAGACUUAAAACACAAAAGUCUUAUUAUAUAUAGAAGAAGACUUCAAUUUUUAAUGACAAGACAAUUAACUCAAUAGCAGAAAAGUCAGUUACAAUAAAGCGCAUCAUGGGAUCCCAAACAUAAUUUUCUUCCUUUAUUGAUAAAAAGUCAGUUGAUAUUACAAUUAAAUUACAGGUGGAAAAGAAAAAAUUGAAAUUACGAUAACACAAUCUAAUUUAGUUUACAAUUUUACAAAUUGAAAUCUAGUAUCAACUGGAAUCACUUGAUGAGUCUUCUUCAAAAAGUAAUCUGCUAUUAAUUAAGACACAAGGUAUAUGGGUAAUCAUGGGCCAAUAUUUUCCUUUAUCCUUUCUGCACCUUUUUUCCAUCAACGGGCAAUCAUCGAUAUCUAGUCGCAAAAGUGAUUUGGGCAGACCCUGCUUUGAAAAGUAUUUGAGCUUCGGACAAUUACUGAGAUCCAGAAUUUCUAAUGAAGUGAGGUUUUCACCAAUUGAGGAUAGGCUUUUCAGAUUUGGCAUAUCUGAAAUCCCCAGUUGGAUUAGAGAGGCAGGAAACCGCGGAGAUGACACCAGGUCUGGGCAUCCUCCUCUGAUUCGUAAUUCCCUGAGACAGGCGAAUCUGUCCAAUCCCCACUCGAACAAUGGCUUUGAUAUCUUCAGAUCAUCAACCACAAGUGAGUGGAGGUUGGUGGGAAAACCACCCUCUGGGAAUGAUACCACGCUACGACACCAUGUUAUUUCCAAACGUAGAAGAGAGGUGAGAUUGUGCAUGCAGUUGGGUAAGGCCUUCAGAUUCUCACAAUCGCAUAUCGUGAGCUCAGUCAGUUUCGAAGAAGGCAAUCCUUCUACGGGAAAUGACUCAAGAUUUGGACAAUGAGAUAUCGAAAUCUUUUGAAGAUGGUGGAGAUUAUGCAAACCGGCAGGUAAUGAUUUAAGAUUUUCAAGGUUGUAAAUAAAAAUUUCUUCAAGAGAUGUGUUGUCCAACCUUUCUGCUAACGACUCCAGCUUUGAACAGCGACUGACAUGAAGGCACUUAAGAGCCUGAGGUAAAUUUCCAUUCCGUGACAAGAAAGCAAGAUUCGAGCAAUAACGGACCUCAAGGUGCUCCAGCGUGGCAGGUAACUCGUUUUCUUAAGAAAAGGAUGUGAGGGAGGUGCAACCACUGGUGCUACCGCGGAUGCCCCUUGUCGAACUCAUUAAGUUACGAUAACUCCCAACAAUCAGCCGCUUCAAGCUCGGAGGUAGCUGGAUUCUAGCAAUGUAUCUCAAAGAAUCACAGUAAUCAAUGUUCAGACUUUCAAGAGAUGUACUGCUAUUUUGUAUCCAUGCCUCAGGUAAGGAUUCCAAAGCAUUGCAUCCUCCUAUUCCAAUUUUUCUCAACUGGGAUGGCAGAGCAACCUCUGGAAAUGAAAAAAGUGAAUUACAACUCCGAAUAUCCAAACUCUCAAGAGAUGAAUUGGAGUUGUGCAUCCAUGCCUCAGGUACGGAUUCCAAAGCAUUGCAAUCUUCAAUUUUAACUGUUCUCAACUGGGAAGGCAGAGCAACCUCUGGAAAUGAAACAAGGGAAGCGCAGCCAUGUAUCCGCAUCUCAGUAAGGGAACUAAGGGUGAGCAAUGCUUGUGGUAGCCUUGUAAGGCCUUCACAAUUACUCAAUUCCAAAAAUCGAACUCUGCACGGCAACUCUGGCUGUUGCUGGUCAUGUUCUUCCACUGUUACCAAGGAAAUCAGUUGGGGACAUCUUGAAAUCUGCAACCGAUUAAGGGAUCUAAUGUCUUGCGGCAACCGAGUUUCACUCCGCCAAAAAUAUGCCUGCUCUCGAACAUGUUGAAUCUCUAAACGUUCCAAUUUAGGUAGCCCUUGUCCAAACACUUCUUUUGCCAUAUCCCCUGAAUGCACUAAUUUCAAUGAGCUGAGGUCGAUUGGGCUGCUCAGCACCACGCCUUUACAUCCAUCGAUCUCUAAUUCACGGAGAGCAGGAAAACAUUGAAGUGUCACUAGCAACUGUUCACACCUAAAAAUGUUGAGCUUCUCUAAUAAAAGAAGACGUUCGGGCAAUGUUCCUUGAAGUUUAGAACAACUGCAAACAGAAAGCAUUUGCAGCUUAGGAAACACUUCAUCAACUUCUUGAGCAGAUCCAUGAGGAUUCCACUCUUCCCAUUCCUGCAUAUCCACAAAAGAAAGAGUCUCCAGUGAUGGAAAGGACACUGAGCAACUGCUUCCAUAAAAUUCCGAACCCACGCUCUUUACUCUACCCAUUCCACUUAUCACAAGAUCCUUUAGAAAUGGUAGUUGCCCUACUGAUGGCAAAGAUGUACACGUGCCACAAUUAUCAAAUUUAAGACGCAUCAAUUUUGAGAAUAAGGAAUCUCCUAACCAAAUUGGAAAUUUAGUACCACCGUAGCCUGUGAUAGUGAGCUCCUCCAGCUUUUGAUGAGGUUUUAGCAUGCCAAUCACUUGUGUUUCAGUUUUAGGCUCCACCGCAUCUCUAAAACUGUAGUGCGAUCCAAAAGUAUAGUACCGAACACCCCAUUGAAGAGAUAAAGCUUUAAGAUUCACCUUGCUGUUUAAUUGGACCUCACUAGCAUCGCCAAUACCUUUCACGUUCUCCAACCUCGAAAUUUCAAGUGUACCUUGAAGAUGCACCAAGGACUUCAACUCUCGUAACCCAGAACCACCGUCUUUUCCCACAACAAAACUACCCAACGUCAAGAGAGAAGUUAAUUUACCAAUUCCCUUCGGCAUUUCUUCCAAUGACCCAACAUUAGAAUUGUUCAGAUGAUGCAACUUCGUCAGGCACAACUUCUUAAGCUGGCGACAAUCUUCCAAUAAAAGUGUAUGCAAGUUGUACAGUGUGUUAAUUGAUUCAGGCAAAAUUUCAAUUUUAGUUGUAGAUAAGUCAAGAAACCGUAAAUGCUUCAAAUUUUCAAUUGCCUUCGGUAGCUCGAAGAUGUUAUACCCACGCAAAGAAAAUACCCUUAAGCGCGGGAGAUUCAACAGCCGCUAAAGAACACUCCAAGCCAAAUAACGACGAGGCCGGAAAUCGGAUAAGUUUAUUGGUAAAAAGGUUCGCAAUUGUCGUACGUUGCAGAUGGAGUCUAACCUAUUGUCGCCAUCAUAUACUCCCUGAAUGUAUGAAAAAUGACGGAGCCCUUUAGAAAACUUUUGUCGGUUUUCACCUUCUGGGGUAUCCUCCAUUCUGAAGCAUGUCUCCCCGGAAGCCCACCGAGCAAGGUCAUUAAUGAGGUCGUGCAUCACAAAUUGAGAUGCAUCUUCACUUGGCUGUUGAAAUAAGGACCUUGAAUGUAACUCCCGAACGAACUCGCGGCCCAAAUCUUCCAUUUUCCUUCCAUUGUAUUCUUGAUCCAAGAAACCUUCAGCCGUCCACAAUAGAAUCAUCUCCUCUUCUUGAAAUUCAUAAUCUUUGGGAAACAAUGAGCAGUAUGCGAAGCACCGUUUCAACUGUGGAGGAAGAAAAUGGUAGCUCACUUUUAGGGCCGGUAUAAUAUAGUUAAAAUAAAUGUGUCUGAGGUUGCUGCACAAUUGUUUGAUAAUAUACCUCAAUGAAGGCAUUGGCGGGAACUCAUGAAUCCCUUGAAUUAAACAAGCCAUUUGAUGUUUGAAUAUCAGUCGUUGGAUGGCUAGAAGCAUCAAAGGUCAGGAUUGGACGGUAAUCAAGCUGAAGGAGCAAGAUAUCACAGCUUGUUAAAGACAAGACUGAGCAACUGAAGACAAGAAGACAAACUGCAGUGUCAGGUUGUUAUAACAACUUUUGUAAUGUCUUGUGAUGAAAUUGAUAGCCGUUGAUGCUAGGACUUGAUGUAACUAAAACAUGAGAACCUAGUUCUAUAUAAAGCAUUGUAAUGCAAUGAAUCUACAGGCUGGAAAAAAUAAAAUCGAUUCUUCAUUUUUGCUUGUGAAUUGUGUGAAAACUACUAGCCUCCUUUUUUUGUCUUGGUAUCAGAGCUUUAAAAAUCCAGAAAUGGAUAAUCAAGCAACAAAUGAGCCAACCCCAGAAGCUGUGAUCAACAACACACCACCAGCUCAAACACAAAGUCCUUUACCCACCCAAACACAAACUGAAUCAUCAUCCUCACACACAAACAUGCAUGUACCCAUAAGUUUCUCCUUCACAGCCCCUGUGAAACUUGACAGAGGAAAUUACAUUAUAUGGAAAGCCCAGGUCUUGCUUGCUAUCCGUGGCAAUGGCCUGGAAAACUUCAUUGAUGGAACAUCUGUAUGUCCAGAAAAGUUAAUAGUGGAUGCUGAUGCAGAAAACAAUUUCAUAGCAUCUGCAAACCCUGCAUAUGCACUCUAGCGUAGAUAAGACCAACUUCUCUUAAGUUGGCUUCUUUUUACAAUAUCAGAGAAUAUUAUCACUGCUGUGACACAUUGCACAACUUCACAAGAACUGUGGUCUGUGCUGGAAAGGCUUUAUGCCUCCCAAUCAAUAGCCAGAUCCAUAGUUCUCAAGAUGCAGUUGCAUGGUGCAAGAAAAGACACAAACUAUCACUGAGUUUUGCACAAAAGUAAGAAACUUGGCAAAUGAGUUGCAAAUGGCAGGAAAGCCAGUUUCAGAAGAAGAUCUUUGCUCUCAUGUGCUUACUGGCCUUGGCCAAUCUUUUGAGUCUGUUGUUGUUAACCUCACUUCAAGACUUCAUGAACUGACCUUUGAUGAAAUGUAUUUUGUGUUGUUGAACCAUUAAGCCAGACUGGAGCAGAAUGCAACUCAUGACAACAAUUUUGAAGCAAAUAUGGCCUCAAGGCAAGGAAGGAACAACUGGACCCAAAAGAAGAAUGAGAGACCAAGGAACCAACCACCAAACCAGUACCUUAGUCCACAAAAUCAAUACUUUAGACCUCCUAACAAUGGUGAUGGAAGACCAAAUAAAGGAAAAGGAAGAGGGAGACCACAUGGAGCAAAGAAGACGGUAUUCAAGCCUGGAGUUUUUUGUCAAAUCUGCCACAAAGAGGGCCAUGCAGCUGAUGAGUGUUGGUACAGAAAAGAAGAUGACUUUGAACCAAAGCCUUAGAACUAUCAACCAAGAGGAGCCUUUCUGGCAACAAAUGAAGGAAGCAAUGAACCAGGCUGGUACUUAGACAGUGGAGCAACUAAUCAUAUCACAAAUGACCUCAACAACCUCAGUGUAAGGUCUGAGUACAAAGGUAACUCCUUUCUCUUAAUUGGAAAUGGACACAAACUUAAAAUCACACACACAGGAACGAUACAUUUGCCUAUAUAUGCUGGUAAAAAAUAUGAACAUCUUGUGCUUAAAAGGGUACUUGUAGUUCCAAAAAUAACCAAAAACCUAUUAAGUAUCUCUAGCCUUACAACAGAUAACAAACUAACAAUUGUAUUUUCUGAUGAAACUUGUGUUGUUAAGGACAAAUUGGAGAAUGUUCUUCUUCAAGGAAUUGAUAUAGGAGGGCUGUUUCAGAUUGUUGGAAGUCAAGAAUAUGUAAGUCCGAGGAAAGGAUGUGCUGCUGAUAGAGUCUACAAAUCAGAGUCUUUGUUUGCUUCAAUAAGUGAGGCUUCUGUCUCAAAAAGUGUUGAUGAGUCUUUAAGUCCUAAGCCUAGUAGUAAGUCAAUUAAUCAACUUGACAUGUUACACAGAAGGUUUGGCCACCCUUGUGAACAGACCCUUAUGAAAAUCAUUUCAAGUUGUAAAAAUUUAUCUGCUUUCAAUAAAGAAAAAUCUUUGAGUUUCUGCACUGCAUGCCAAUAUGGUAAAAUCACAAAUUGACUCUUAAAAGCUCACAAACACAGACAAAGCAGCCCUUUGAACUGAUCCAUGCAAAUCUUUGGGGUCGAGCACCUAUAAUUUUAGGAAAAGGUUACAGGUACUACUUAAGUAUUGUUGAUAAUCACACAAGAUACACAUGGAUUUACCCCUUAACCAGCAAAGCAGAAACAACACAAACCUUUAUUGACUUCAAGAAUCAAAUAGAGAAAACAUUAAAUAAACAGAUCAAGUGUUUACAGACUGAUAUGGGGGGAGAAUUUAGACCAUUAACCGAGUUUCUUAGGAACAAUGGAAUCAUGUUUCGACAUUCCUGUCCAUCUACGUCAAUACAAAAUGGUCAAGUUGAAAGGAAGCAUAGGCACAUUGUAGAAACAACACUCACCAUGCUAGCACAAGCAAACAUGCCCUUAAAACUGUGGUGGAACGCCUUUGAAACUGCUGCAUAUCUUAUCAAUAGAAUGCCUACGCAGGCCCUAGGUUAUAUCAGUCCAUACAAAAAACUUUACAACAAUGAGCCUGAUUAUGCCUUCCUAAAAACUUUUGGGUGUGCCUUUUUUCCAUAUUUAAGACCCUAUAAUCAACAUAAACUUCAGUACCAUACCACUAAAUGUGUGUUUAUAGGGUAUAGCUUACAGCACAAAGGAUACAAAUGUCUAGAUAGCACAGGCAGAGUUUAUGUAGCUAGACAUGUGAUUUUCAAUGAGAAUGAGUUUCCUUUUAUUAUAGAUAAGAACUUUGAGACUAACAAAAGUGAAAGCAUGACAAGUAGUCAACCUAACUAUCAGCAGCUUCUAUUACUUCCUUGUGGCACUUUCUUAACUCCACAAUCAAACAAUAAUCCAUACAAAACAUCCAAAGAGGGUGAACAUAACUCCACACAAGAUACAAUGCAAGCAUCAUUCGAAAAUCAAAUCAGAACACCAAACCAAGACCAGAUCCAAACACAUCAACCAAACAUAGAAACACAAUUGGAGAGAGUCAAUAUAGAACCUGAGCGACCAUUAGAACCAUUAAACACACACCCUAUGGUAACCAGAUCCAAACAUGGAAUCUACAAGCCUAAAAUAUACCUUGCACAAAUGAGUUCAUAUGAGUUACCAACAAAUAUAGCAAGUGCUAUCAGGAAAGUGAAAUGGAGAAAUGCUAUGUUGGAUGAAUACAAAGCUCUACUGGAAAACAACACUCGGGAAUUGGUGAAAGUUCAAGAGGGUACAAAGGUCAUCGGAAACAAAUGGGUCUACAAAGUAAAGCACAAUCCAGAUGGGACAGUAGCGAGACACAUGGCGAGAUUAGUGGCCAAAGGCUAUAACCAAACAGCAGGGGUUGAUUACACAAAAACCUUCAGUCUAGUGGCCAAGUCAUCCACAAUCAAGGUACUCUUGAGUUUGGCUGUCAACUAUGGUUGGGACAUCAAACAAGUAGAUGUCAACAAUGCCAUUUUGAAUGGAGAACUAAAUGAAACCGUGUUCAUGGAGCAACCAGAAACAAGCUCCAAGGGCUUGGUAUGAAAAGCUUAAAGCUGCCCUACUCAGCUGGGGAUACAAGAACUCAUUCUCGGAUACCUCACUGUUUCAUUGGAGGGAUAAUAGAGAAGUCAUAUACGUACUUGUGUAUGUAGAUGACAUACUCAUAACUGGAAGUAGCCAAGAUCUUGUCAAUGACCUGAUUAAAAAACUUAAUGAGAGUUUCGCGUUGAAGGAGCUAGGCUCAUUAAGUCAUUUUCUUGGAAUUGAAGUAAAAAGGGACCGUGCAGGGAUGCAUAUUUGCCAAAGCAAGUAUGUGCAAGAACUUCUAGAGAAGACAAACAUGAAAGGGUGCAGAGAAAGCAUAACCCCAUUAAGUUCAAGUGUGAAGUACACCUUGGAGACUGAAGAAGAAGAGAGAGGACAACUUUUUGAAGACAAAACUCUCUACAGAAGUGUCAUUGGAGCUUUGCAGUAUGCAACCAUCACCUGGCCAGACAUUGCUUACAGCGUCAAUAAACUAAGUCAAUUCAUGCAAGAACCGAAAGUGAUACACUGGCAAGGCUGCAAAAGGAUCUUGAGAUACCUUCAAGGCACCCUAAAUUAUGGUCUGUACUUCACACCUGGAAACAAAAUGGAAAUCUCAACCUUUACAGAUGCCGACUGGGGAGCUGAUAGAGAUGACAGAAAGUCUACAGGUGGUUAUUGCAUGUUUUUGGCAGGAAAUCUAGUCUCCUGGAGUUCAAAGAAGCAGAAGGUAGUAUCAACCUCCAGCACAGAAGAAGAAUAUAGAUCACUGUCAAAUGGAGCAGCUGAAUUGACUUGGUUACAAUCCUUACUUGCAGAGAUGAACAUCAAGUUGGAGAAGAGGCCAAUAAUAUGGUGUGACAACAAGAGUGCAAUAGCUCUUGCUGAAAAUCCAGUCUUUCAUGGAAGAACCAAACACAUUGAAAUAGAUGUUCACUUCGUGAGGAAUAAAAUCAGCAACCGAGAGUUUGAUUUGAAGUAUGUGGAAAGCAAGAACCAAGUUACAGAUAUAAUGACCAAGGCACUACCUAAUCGAAGUUUCGAAUACCUAAGAAGCAAGCUCAAUGUCUUAGCAGACGAUUGAGCAUGAGAGGGAGGAGUUAAAAUAAAUGUGUCUGAGGUUGCUGCACAAUUGUUUGAUAAUAUACCUCAAUGAAGGCAUUGGCGGGAACUCAUGAAUCCCUUGAAUUAAGCAAGCCAUCUGAUGUUUGAAUAUCAGUCGUUGGAUGGCUAGAAGCAUCAAAGGUCAGGAUUGGAUGGUAAUCAAGCUGAAGGAGCAAGAUAUCACAGCUUGUUAAAGACAAGACUGAGCAACUGAAGACAAGAAGACAAACUGCAGUGUCAGGUUAUUAUAACAACUUUUGUAAUGUCUUGUGAUGAAAUUGAUAGCCGUUGAUGCUAGGACUUGAUGUAACUAAAACAUGAAAACCUAGUUCUAUAUAAAGCAUUGUAAUGCAAUGAAUCUACAGGCUGGAAAAAAUAAAAUCGAUUCUUCAUUUUUGCUUGUGAAUUGUGUGAAAACUACUAGCUUCCUUUUUUUAUCUAAUAUCACAUCCGUCAUCCGCGAAAUCUCAUACUUCAGUAUUGAGCACAAUUUCCCAGUCUCUAGGACCAUCUUUGCCGCGUAAAAGACCGCCAAGUAUUUUUGCGGCCAACGGCAAUCCUUUGCAUUUCAUGGCUAUCUUCUGUCCGACUUCCUUCAAUGAUUGAUGCACGUUGAAAUCCCUAGCCCCCAGGGAGUGUUGAGUGAGCACACGCAAACAGUCGUCUUCUGAUAACACUCCCAGUGCAUAUUCUCGAACACUUCCCACCUUUAAUGCGACAUCGUGAUUGCGAGUGGUGACAAUAAUCUUACUUCCGGGUGUGCCAGCUUUAAACGGCCGGUUAAGAAACUCCCAAUCAUUGUAAUUGUCGUUCCACAAGUCAUCCAAAACAAACAAAAAUUUCUUUUUAAGCAGUUCCUUCUCCAGCUUCUCUUGAAGUGAAUUUAAAUCGUUAUCAUUAACAGUCACGUUAGAAAUGGACAUGGGCAUUGAUUUUGUUACCCUGAAAACAUCAAAAUCCUCAGAGACACAAGUCCACGCUUUGAUCUCAAAACGACGUCUCACUCGAUCAUCUUUAUAGACAAGCUGAGCGAGAGUUGUCUUCCCGACGCCGCCCAUUCCAAUUAUAGAAAUAACAGAGAAUCCAUCAUCAGCUCUUAAAUCAUCCCUCAACAACAAUUCAACAAUCUCCUCCUUCUCUUUUUGCCUGCCAUAUACCUCGGCUUCGUUCACCUAAGAUGUUGAGGGUAAUCUUUGUCUGACAUUUCUAGACUUCCCAUCUGAAAUUACAUUUUUCAGCUUCAACAGGCCUUUUUGCGUUGAAAUAAUACUCUGCAGCCGAGCAGUGACAUCUCUAUUUUCGACACCAUUUUGGAUUCAAACUGAAUAGAUCGAGGGCUAAAAUUGGUGCAGCAAGUAGGAAUGAACUUACGAAACUUACUCGUGCUAGUACUGGGUUGAUAAGCAGCAGCUGGUUCUUGAAGCAGCAACUCCCUCCGCAGAGCUUCAGUUUCGAGCUCAUCCAACACGUCUUCAGCAUCAUAAGCCAAGUUCUGAAGAUUGUCGAGCCAUUUCCUCACAGCCUUGUCCUUUGUCUGCCUAUCCUCAGCAUCAUCAAGCACUGCCUGAAUCAUCUCCAACAUUCCCUUCCACUUGAUGAAAUCAGCCUUCAACUUCGCAUGCCGUGUAAACAGUUCAAGUCCCUUUGAAGCCAGCUUUUUGAUCAGCAACUCAACUGACACACUAAGCACCGCCUCUCCGAUGAAUGACAUUUUUUUUUUUUUUGGGGGGUUUAAGUAAACAGAGUAAAUUAUGAAAAAUGAGGAAGAAAAAAUGUGCAGAAAUUGAACAAAGUCUAGUUUGUUGUUGUGAUUAGAGUGAGAGCAAGCAAGAGAAUGCAAUGUGUAAUGUAUGCCACAUAUGUCAAGAAAAACAAGUCUUUCCCAAUGCUAUCGAAUCUAAUUCUUUUUCUUUUUUUUCAAAAUUUUGGACAUUCUUUACUUAUUAAUCUCUUUAUUCUUUAAUUUCUAAGUGAUUCUUGCUACAGCUAUUAUUAUUAUUAUUAUUUCGUGAUUUGGGGUAUCUGCUUUUAUAAAAGCAUAUUGGUCUUCUUUAAUUCAAGUUUUUGCUUUAUCUUUAUUAAUUAGGCAUCUUACAAAGCUUUCACUCUAUCUCUAUCCACUAUACAAGUAAUGUAUUUGCCAAAAUUGUUAAAACAGAAUGACAUUAAUUUCUUCUCCAAAACUUAUCAUUUCUUUCGAAUAUAUGAAAACGUAGUGUUAUUGAUUCUCACACCGGUAAAACAUACACAACCCCAUAAACCGUUGAACUAAAAUGACAGAUUAUCCAAAUUAAUUCAAGGUCAAAGUGGAAAAGCGCUUUAUUAAUUGUUAUUAGAAGUAAUUAGAACAAAUAUUUCCACAAUAAGAGAGUAUCAUUGAGCCAUAGCUCUCUUUGCUCGAAAUCUUAUGUAAAUUAAAUUGCAGUAAAAAAUUAAUAUUAAAUAGUUGAACCACGUAAGAAAUAGAAACCAUAGAAAUUGUUUUGCUUCAACUUGAGUUUUGGAUUGCCCUAAAUUGAGAAGAUUCAUCUCCUUGAGCUCAUUGCAACACAACAUUCUUACAUUGAAAUGUAACAUCAUAUGAUUAAGCACAAAUUCAGUCAAAAAAAACUUAAUAUUAAUUUGUUUGCCGGUUAUUGAGAAUUAAGCACAAAUUCAUGAUCAUUGAAAAUAAAUUUCUAUUGAAGCAUGGGUAUAGUGAACAAAUAUCCACAGCAAUCCCAUUUUCAUGGCCUGUAGUAUAUUGUCUUACAAAAGUAUUGUUUUCUAAUUUUUUAAUGGGGAAAAGCCACCUACACUUCCAAAGUUAAUUUGUUUAAAUAGUCACGCAGACUCUCUUAAUUUUAUAAAUGGUCAGUUAACUAUUAUACCCUUCGAUUAUAGCAACCUAAUAAUUGAAUCUAAAUAAACUUUUUUAAUAAACAUAAAUAAAAAUAAAAAUAUUAUACCAUAUGAAAUAAGAUAAAAUUUAUAAAUUAUUUUAAAUAUUAUAAAAGUUUGUUUAACAUUAUUGAUAUGUCAUAUUCUUUUAAUAAUAAUAAAACAUAUUUGAUAAAUUAAUAAUGUUAAAAUAAUUAUGCCGAAAAUUCACAGUAAUUUACAACAUUUAUUUUAUUUUAUUUAUAAUACUUUUUAAUUAUGUCUAUAUUAGUAUAAAUUUUAAAGUCAAUUUUUGGAUUAGUAGAUUUUAGAAUUAAUAAAAUUCAUCGAGAUAGACUAUAAUAGCCUAAUAUUAAAAAUAAUUUUCAUUAUAUACAUUAUUUUAUUAAUUAUACUUAUUGUAAUAGUUUAUUUUGUAUCAUAUAAUAUUUAUUUAUUAUUUUUAUCUUAUUGCUAUAUUUAGUUUUAUUUGGGUUGUUAUAAUCAAAUGGGAUAGUACUAAAAGAAAGGGAUUUGUAUUAAUAUUUAAGCAAACCUUGAGGGCAUGGGUGACUUUUUCCCUUUCUAAUAUGAAAAGUAUACAUUGAGUAGAACUGGAAAAUAACAUUUUGCUUUAGUUUUUUGAAAAAAAAAGACACAUGUAUUUGAAAUUUGAAAAUUCAAUUUUUUUUUUAAUGCUGCGAUGGGAAUGAGAAAUCUCAGCCACUAAAUACCAAUCACUACCCUCUAUUUUUACUUCAAUUCAUGUGACCCGAGUGCAAAGUACAUUCAUGAACAGAUGAGUUGCGUCCUAGGGCUGAAUUCAAGUUUAAAAACCAGCAUUAAUAUGAAAAAAGAAUUUGAACUAUUGGACGAUCAACUAAAAUUAUUCUUCUACUUUAUUAAUACUAAAUAGUAAAGCUACUUUUUCAAUAUCUUUGUUUUUCUAUACAUUUUUUUCCUUUCUUUUUUUAUUGGCAAGUACUCUAGAAGACAUUCACGGUUUUCUCUAUUCAUAAAUAAUAAUAAUAAUAAUAAUAAUAAUAAUAAUAAUAAUAAUAAUGUAUGCUUUUAAACCCAUUUUGAUUCUCGCUAAAUACUAUUCUUACAAUUUUUUUCAUCAAAAUAUACUCAGGUGAAAAGUGCAUUCAUGGUUAGCUAAGCUAUCUCUUGGGACUAAAAAUUCAAGUUUAAAAACCAAUUCUAAGAUGAAAGAUGAAUCUGAAAUAUUUAAAAUUAACUAAAUUAUUCUUCUAUUUCACUAUCAAAUACUAAAUUGUUCUUUUUCCUUUUUUUCCUUUAAUAACAAGUACUCGUUGGCUGAUUUUCAGGUUGGACUCCCAGUAGUCUAGUGAAUAUAUCCUAUGGUGAAAAGAUAGAAGAAAUCAUAAGACAAGUUGGUGAAGAAUUAAAGGAGAUUUAUACUGUUUUCAACGAAACAAAACUUUGGAAACUUAACUAUUUACCAAGGUUUACAAUCUUUCCUUAUGAAAAUCACACUCUUGAAUGGAAUGAGUUUAUGUGACACAUUGUCUCAGUACGAUGAUUUUUUCUUAGGGAGUCUUAUGCGCACCAAAACUGUGCAAAAUGCAAGCUAAGUGACUAAAAAAUGUUGGAUUCUUAUUGGAUUUAGCACCAGACUUGAUUUGUGUGUUUCAAUUAUAGCUUAUUUGAUUAAUGUAUUUUCAGUUAUAGCUUAUUAAUUUGAUUAAGGUAAUUUGGGUUACUUCUGCAAAUGAAACUAAUUUGGAAAUUAAAGGUUGAUCAAUGAUCAUUAAUCUUGUCCAUUAAUUAAAUAUGCUUGGAAGGACUGUGGCAAAGCGUAAAUCAAGUCAUUAUUGAUCUUUCUUUUAUGAUGGCACUUUAGUUUCUCCAUUCUGCAAAAUUCUCUUUUUGUGAUUUUGGGCAUCUGUUUUUUAUUAAAGUAUGCAUUAGUCCUCAUUCAUUUAAGCUUUUGCUUUAUCUUUAUUAACUUUUGCCAUCUCUCAGAGGCUCAAAGUUUUUCCCUACUAAUUAAGCUCGGUCAAGAUUUUAUCUAUUCACUCACAGAGAUUGCAAAAUGUACAUUUCAAAAUUGUUAAAGCAGAAAUGAUAUUUUAUGUAAUAUAUGCAAACGUUUUCUAUGAGCAAUGAAUUUGCUUUCUUCAACUUUUAAAAUAUUUUUUCCGAUCCAUUUCUUGUAUCACUCUGCAUGCUUUAUUGAAGCUGUUUUGGCCUUGAUUUUGAAUUUCAAAAUCCUAAUUUAUUUAUUUAUUCAUCUUUACAAGUUCUGUUCUUCCAUAAAUUGAAAAAUAAGCUACUAAGCCACUUAGCUUUACCAUAUAUCCAUUCUAAGCAUAUUCUUUCCUCAUUCAUUCGAGUUUUUACUUUAUCGUUAUUAAUUAGGCAUCUUACAAAGCUUCUCGCCUAGUAAAUGAGCUCUGUCAAGAUUCUUCACACGAUAUAAGUAAUGUAUAUGCCAAAGUUGUUAAAGCAGAAAUGGCGUUUCUUCUCGAAAAAUUUAUUAUUUCUUUAGAAUAUAUGUAAAAGUUUUAUAAAAGCAAAUGCUUAAUUUCUUCAACUUUAAGAUAUUUUAUCCGAUCCAUUUAUUGUAUCACUCUUAAUAAUUUAUUGAAGCUUGUUUUGUCUUGAUUUUGAAUUUCAAAAUCUUAAUUUAUUGAUCAUUACAAGCUCUUUUCUUCCAUAAUUGAAGAAUAAGCUACGCCACUUAGCUUUACUAUAUAUCAAUUCUUUAUAUAUGCUCUAAAAUAAACCCUAAGAUAGGAUCAUGCAGUAAUACAAUUUAGAAAAUUGGAAUCUCAUGAUUUUCACACCAAUAAUACAUAUAACAAUAGUGUAUAUUUCUGUUUUCCUCAACAUAUCUCUAGUUCAAUUAUCAAUUUUUUAUGCGUUUACAACUAGAGUAAUGCUAAGAUCUUAAUAUUUGGAUCAUAAUUAAUGUGGUAUUCAUAUAUUCAUUGACUAAUAGAUAAAUAAUUUUACUAGUUAUAAAAUUUAUUGUCCAUAUGACGAAUAACAUGUAACAUUGGAACUCAAGUUCAGAUACUUAGCAUCAUAAUUACGAAAUACAUAUUUAUGUGUAAUUGCAAUUUUAUUUUGAAAUUGCAAUUACACAUAGACAGAAGCCUCAUAGCGGCACUACUAGUUAAAAUGAGCACAAUGUUACCAUCACAGGCAGCCCUAAGCACUACACAUAACUUCGCUCUGCACAUUAACUUCAUGCAUAUAAAAGGCAAUAGCAAUUACAUUACCCUGCAACAGAACAUCUUUGUCAUUGAUCUGUUAAUUAUUUUGCGUGUUUUUUAUUCGAUACGUACGUACGUGAGUGAUGCUGUAUCUAUCUGCAGGUUCUGUCAUUCUUAUGAUGCCCAAGCAUCGUUUCAGUAGGUUUCAUUGCUUCUAAAGCUAAAAAGCUUGCUCCGGCACCUAGUUGCAAAUGUAAAACACAAAGCAGUAAUGUUAAAGGAUCAAUUUUUGGGGCAUAACUUGUACUAUAUUCAUCAUCAAAAUUGUAUACAGAAGUACAGCAUACAUUUUAUUUGCCAAAGAAAUGCUCGGCAUAUACAAAUGACAAUAUACACUUUGCUUUUACAAUUCUUUAUGCUGAGUCAUCCUUAUCAUGAGUUAUCAGUUUCUAUUUAGUCAGUUGCCAUGUAAGGCUUGCUGUACAGAGUGCCGAUAUUGAGAAUCAGGCCGAGGCUGCUCAUAGAGGCAGUUCAUCGAAUAUCUAAUUCAUUCCAUCAAACACCAAACCUAUCCUGGCAUUUCAUCGAACACUUUUCCGAGCUUAAUUAACAUUUAGCCAUUGCAAACUGGGCCCACAACUGCCAGCUCAACUCUCCACAUCAGCAUAGUUGUAACUAACUCUACUCUCAUAGGAGGUAAGACAGAUUUGACUUACACCAAUAUUUCUUUUGCAAUAUGGGAUGUGCUCAUUUUUCAUCAGGAGGCCAUUCUAGUCAGAAGCAACACUUGUUACAUGGUAAUCAUCCUAAUAAUCUUUCCGCAACUAGGACAAAAAAAUGGUAACUUUGCGCAUGUAAAUUGUGUUAAAUUAGGGUCUUCAUUCUUUGUUUGCCGGUUUCCAUAAACCCUGCCUCCUUAAGUUGUGGGAUUUGGCAUUGGAACGGCUGAUAAUCAUGUGUUCAUUUUUAAUGACAGGUGCUUAAAUUCGGAAUUUUAUAUGCUUGACUUUUAGUAUCAGAUUCUGCCGUCAUGAAUCAGCAGCUUGGCUGGUGAUUAAAGAAGGCAGUCGCUGGGGAAAUUGAGUCUCCGAUUCUGGUGCCAAGUUUCAUGGCUACAGGGACUAGCUUUUAAUACAUUAUAUGCUGUUGGUUUAAAUAUACACCUAUGAUAGUUGAGGUCAUUGCUAAUUCAUUGCUUUAGACAGUAGAAACAACUCAUCACCCAGGCCACUGCCCAUGUGGCAAAGACGUAUUCGAGGUUUUAUGGGGACUUAUCAGGCCGUUUGAGCUAUGUCAGGAACUCUCGACUAUGUAAAAUUGCAUAGAUAUAGACUCCGCGACUCUUAGUGUACUCUAAUUAUCUUGACAUAAGACUUAGAACCGUGCAAGCUUAAGUACCGUUGCAGCUAGUAUCCACAUCACUGACGUCAGUAGGCCUUGGAAAUGCCUAUUUAUUUGGGAUCAGACUUCAGAGGGUAAUUCUCCAGCGCUUAGGCCUCCAAUUGAAUUAGGCUGUUCUUGUAAAGGCGGUUUGGGUUAUGUUCCCAAACGAUAUACUGAGACUCGGUUCAAGAUCAGGGGUACCUUAAAUUUCAUUUUUUUUAAUUGAACAAAUGAUGGAUGCCCAUUUACUUGUUUGAAAAAGAAAAUUUGUGUAUGGUUCUGUUGUGUGUGAUCUUUUGCAAGGUUGUGCAUGAAUUGUUGAUUAGUAUGGAUACCCCUCGGUGGUUUUAAGUAAAUGUGAUGGAUCCUAGAUUCUCUUUGUUGAUGUAUAAAUAUAUAUAUGACUCUUUGUUUGUUCCAUAAGUUAGUGAGUUUAAAAUAAGAGUGCUUAAUAUGGAAACUUGGGGUUUCUGGUUUACAUAUAUUUGCUUCCUGUCUUUGCCAUUUCCAUAUGCUAGUAUCGGUAGGAAUUGCACAAUGUUGUUGUUUCAAGACUUUUCACUUCAUUUUAGAAUGUGCCAUGCAAAAUGCUCUAGAAAUUGCAUAAUAGAUGAUAUGCUACAUUUUACAUUUCACAGCAGGUGUGACUUCUAAACCACGACGCCACAAUACCAAACAGAGAAAGAUUGAUUCGAGAACAAAAGAUUUUACCUAGCUAGAACAUAUAAGGUUAGCAACAAUAUAUGCCUGUCUGGUUACCAAAUGCAGUCAAGUUAACAGAGUAAAGAGCUUUUCAUUCUCAUCACUUCAAUUUCAAGGCAAAAAGCCAGUCAAUAGACAAUUAAGUCUCGUUUCAUUUUCUCAAAAUUUAUGCUCCCUCAAUUCUGUUACACCAGACAAAAAUAAACUUAAACCAUAUCUGAAAAGAGAAUACGGCCUGAGAUCACAAAUGCUGGGAAAUUUAAAAAAUGAAGGAAAAAAAUGGCCAAUGCAGAAUAAAGCAGAGCAAAUAUCAGAGUAAAAUAGAAUUUAUAUGCAAAUAUACCCUGCUAAACUUUCUGAGAAAUGCUUAAAUCCUUUCAAUCCACCAGUUUCAAUUAUCUCCAACCAAAUGGAUAACCAUAAAACCCUGCAACACAGGAUUAAAGAUAAUUUUAAGAUUUGAAUUACUAAAUAUUUCUCCUUUCAUAAGUCAAUAAGCAUAAAACCCCGCAACACAGGAUAAACUGUGUAAGCCUGGAGUAGUUAUAUUCUGUUAAAAAUGAGUGAGGUGGCGUGCUGAGCUGGCGUCAGUGGGGACCAUUUGCUGUUAAGGCUGGGAAAUUUUAACGGACAAUCAUGGAUAAUUAUAUUUUCUCGAUAGUAUUUGAGGUUCCGACAAAAAUAGAGAUCCAGAGUUUCCAGUGAAGUGAGGUUUUCACCAAUUGAAGAUAGGCAUUUCAGAUUUGGCAUAUAUGAAAUCCGCAGUACAGUUAAGAGUGGCAGGAAACCGUGGAGAUGACACCAGGUCUGGACAUCCUUCGCAGAUUUCCAAUCGUCUGAGAGAGGUGAAUCUGUUCAAUCCCCAUUCGAACAAUGGCUUACACAUCUUCAGAUCAUUAACCAUAAGUGGUUGAAGGUUGGUGGGAAAACCAUCCUCCGGAAAAGAUUUGGACAUCGUUCUAUCCGUAUCUCUUGAAGACGGUGGAGAUUAUGCAAACCACCAGGUAAUAAUUUAAGAUUUUCUAACCAUGAAAUAGUGAUUUCUUCGAGGGAUGUAUUGUCCAACCUUUUUGCUAACGACUCCAGCUUUGAACAAAAUCUGACACGAAGGCAUUUAAGAGCCUCAGGUAGAUUCCCAUUCCGUGACAAGAAAUCAAGAUUCAAGCAAUAACUGACCUCAAGGUGCUCCAGCGUGGCAGGUAACUCGAUUUCUGAAGAAGAGGGUGUGAGGGAGGUGCACCCGGUGCUGCUACUGAGGAUGUCCUGUUCCCCCGUCAAAGUCCUUAAAUUAUGACAGGUGUUAAUAAUCAGCCGCUUCAGGCUCGGAGCAAGCUGGCACGUACUGCUAUUUAAAUAUAUGUCAAAGAAUUACGGUUAUAAAUGUUCAGACUUUCAAGAGAUGUACUGCUAUUUUGCAUACAUGCCUCAGGUAAGGAUUUCAAAGCAUUGCGUCCUUUGAUAUCAGUUGUUCUCAACCGGGAAGGCAGAGCAGCCUCGGGAAAUGAAAUGAGUGAAGUGCAGUGAGGUGUCCGCAUCUCUGUCGUUGAUCAUGUACUGCUAUUAAUUUUAUGUAUGUAGUAAUGUAUAAUCUAAAUAAUUUACAUUGGUUUAUUUUAAUUAUAUAUGAUUAUCAUAAACUAAUUUAUUAUAAAUGUAAUUUUUGUAUUAGUUGUCUUUGAAAUUGAUUUUAAUUUUUGUUGAUAGUGGGAGGCUCGGUAAUGAAAUUUGUGUCUAUUGAUGGCUGAGUGAUUAAUGUUAUUCAAUUGAAGAAGAUAAAAUCUACAUAAAUUGAACGAAGUCUAGUUUAUGUGAAUAAUAGGCUUUACCAGGAAAUUGCACCAUUUAUGCCACGACAGUGGCUGAAUCCAUACUCUUACUAAUUCCAACAAUACGACAAUUCUUUCAAGAAAAAGUUGAAAAUGAUUCAGCAUAGCGACGACCAAAACAUGACCACGCAAACGUGUUUCCGCCACCCGGGAAGCAUGAGUAAUUUGCUUUGGUUAUCGAUCAUUUGAUUAUUACAUCAAAUAUUUUAUAAAUAAUCAAUGAAAUAUUUAUAUUAUUUUAUUUAUUUUAUUAGAAACAGCUUUAAGCAUAGGUAAAUUAGACAGUUAUUUAAGGGCGCACUAUAUUUUAGAUAGACCCCAUUUUUUAAUUAUUGCUUUAAUAAUAAUGUAAUUAAUAAAUAUUUUGAAUUAUAUACUAUAGGACAACCUAUUUUUUUAGAACUAUCUCUAAUUAAUAAUUAUCCUAUAACUAAGAUUUGAUUUUAUAAAAAUUUUAUAUUUGAUAAUAUUAAUGUAAAUAACUAUAAAAAUUUUGUCAUAAUUUUAUACCAAUUCUAAUUUAUUAUAUAUUUAACCAUUUAUUAGUUGUCUUCUCUACUAAAAAUUUUGUCAUAAUGUUUAAGUCAUUGAUCAAAAAAAAAAAAAAAUAGUGUUUAAUGAUAUCAAUCCAUCAAAGGUUGCAAUACAUGAAAUUAUCCACAAUUUGAUUACAUGAAAUCAAUGUCGUAAAAUAUAUGUCAAAUAUUUAAUUAUGAAUAUAUAUAUAUACACACUUAUAAUCUGAUUCCCGCAAGUAGAGUAAAGAGACUAUUUUCAUUGACCUACACCAAUAAUACAAAUUAUCAAGUCAGUCAACCACAAGUUCAUUUCAUCUCUUUAAAAUAGUAUGAACAAAAAUAAUCUAAUGGCCAUGCCUAGUUCAAUCUAGCGGACAUGACUCCCAGAACUUUACAAAGGACAAUUUACACUUGUGUUAUUCCAUACUUUAUGCUUAAUCAUCCUUAUCAUCACUCAUCAAUUUUUGCUGAACAAAUGGAUAAAUUUAUGAAGAAUGGUUGUCAGCAAAUGAUUAAUGGAAAACUAAUCAUACUGAUUAACAAAUGAUUAUGAUAUGGAUGUAUCAUGAUGGAUUUUAUAAAUAAAACAAAAGAAUUCGUCAUAUUUUUUUUUUAAGGAUUUGCAAUUUAUGAAUGCAAAUGGGUUUCUGGAAACUAGUUGUGAUAGAGUUUGAUUUGGGCACGAAGUUGGAAUCGUUAGUAAUCACGGAUCAACAUGCCGUGUUGAAUGUGUACCGGGGCCCUGUACACACUGCCCGUUACAUCCUGAGAAUUUGGGCCUUCGACAAGAACAAAUAAACAAUACAAAAGCUCAUUUUUUAGUACGAUAGUUUAUCUAAUAAUUAUAAUUAUUUAAUUACAUAACUUUUUUUAAUUUUUUUUUGUUGGACUUUUUUUGGUGGAGUUUUAGAGAUUAAAUAAGUUUUUUUGUCUUUAAUUACUAGUAAAAACUCAAAAUUUGGACUUUUAAAAUUACAGUUGAAAUACAUUUAAAAAAAAUUAAAAUAUCAAAAAUAUCAUUUACUUAUUUUAUUUCUUUUAUAAUAUAAUUAUAAAAAACUUGUCUAUUAAAUUACUUUUACAAUUUUUAAUAAAAACACUGAUAGAAUCGAAAUAAUUAAAAUUUUUAUAGUAAAAAUUCUGUUUAUGAUAGCUCUACUAAUAAAAAAUUAUAUUUAAAUAAGCUCAAUUGUUAAAAACUAUAAGAAAUGGAGUGCUAACACUGUAUAAAAAAAUGAAAUAAAAAAAUCCUUCUUGUUAUGAGAUUUUUAUCUCCAUAACUUCAUCACAACAAAAUUCAUGAGUGCUCCAACUGUCAUGCAAUGUCCCAUGCUCUUAAGUCUUAAGUUUCGCGUCUUGCUACUUCUCCAUUGUAUUAAUAUAUAUAAAAAAACAAAAAAAAAAUGGUUUGACACUUUGAGCUGGAUCUCCCAGGAAUCUAAAAUAAAUUAAAUUGAGUAAUGCUAUGCUUAUCAGUUGUAGAAGUUUAAGGGUUAGAAUUUUGAAAUUGUGAGAAUUAUAAUUUUUUAUUAAUUUAAUUUAUAUUUAGUAGAUUAAUUCAUUUUUAAUUUAUUAAAUUGGUAAAAUACAAUGAAUUUUUAAUUGAUUAAAAUGUAUGUUUAUCGAAUUGCAUAUACACUUUAUAAAUUGAUAAAUUAUUAAUAUAUCGAUUAAUUAAUAUUUCUUUUAAAUUAAUAAUUUUUAUAUGAUAGAAAAUUAUUAUUUUAUAAAAAAUUUACUGUACUUCAAAUUCUUUUUCACCAAACUAAACUAUUAACCUUUAGAUAGAAAAAGCCAUUUUUACUACAACAGUAUGCAAGGAAGUGAAGCAUCUGCACGGCACAGCCUUUUGGGCGCCGUUGAUUUUACAUAAUAAAACGAAGUCAGCUUUCAUCAUCCACCGUCCAAACCCACAUUAACUUCAAUCACUUCCCUUAACUGAUCAUUCUUCUUCAUGUUAUUUCUUAAUUUCUAUAAUUAUCAAAAACCUUAAACACUUGAAGUAGCUGAAUAGAGAAACGGAGGAUGUCAAUGUCGUUUUCACCAUUCCCGGUUAGUUUUUAAUACAUGGGAUUGUCUAUUUAUUUCUUUAUUUUUGUUUUUGAUUGAAAAUUUUUUUGUAUGUUUGAUGAAUUGUGUUGAAAUGGUAUAUGGGUUGUUUGGUUUCCUGCAAAUGAUAAUAGGGAACUAUAAUUUUGUAGAGGAUCUUAAAGGACCGUACUACCCGAAAUUAAUAGUGUACUCGAUUUUCAAUCUGGUAUGAUUCUUAUAUGCUGAAAAUAGAAGAUCUUAACUAAAUGCAUUUAAUUGGGAUUCUUCAGCAAUUAAAAUUGGUUUUCCUUUCUUCCAAUGAGUUUGUGUCCAAUUACAUAUCGAAAGCACCUCAGGAAUGCUAUUGUUAUAUGCAUUGACAUUUUCACUUUGGUUACUGUUGUUGGAUAAUUUGUUGGAUAACAGCUGUUGCAUCUUUGGCGUGAUAGAGGCUUACAAAUGGGGAGUACAACCAGUUUUGCUAAGUUUCUAGUAUAAUAGAGUCAUACGUUAGUUAUGCGUAUGUACAAUUUUCUUGUUUUUGUUGUAUAUAGGUGGCAGGAAAAAAUGUUCACACAGUAACUGGUGAUCGUUUUGUGAUCUAUGGAGGUUCUGCCACUGUAUGCUGAAGGUUUUGAGGCUUAAAGCUAUGGUUACUUGAAAGACUGAUCCUUAAGCAUUGCAAUAAAAAGCAUGGACUACUGAGUGAGUCUAAGAUUUUAAAGAAUCAAGACAAGGAUCAGUUUGAUAUUCAUCUAGAAACUAGUUCAUCAAAUGAUGGACGAGAGUCUGAAGGAGUUUCGACAUUAUCUAAACCUAAUGGUCAGUAAAGACUAUUUUAAGUUAACCUCUUUAUUAUAAUAAGUUGUUAUGUCUAUCAAUGUGAAUUUAUAUUGGCAUAAUUAUUUUCUCAUAAUUUGCAAUUGAAAACUUAAAAUCUCUAGAUUGUUGAACUGACAGUUCUGUUGGAGAAACGAAAAGAGACAUGCAAGCAUAAAUUUGCCUAAUUUUUUGUGUGUAAUGUGCAAGCAAGAUCAUAACUGAUUCUAGCCUUGCGUACGGUUGAUUGGGUAUACUUUGGUAUGGCACAAAUAGUCCUCUUUUUUUUUUUUAUUCUUCUUCUCCUAAUGAUAGCUGGUCCACUAUCUGAUUUUAAUCUUCUUUACCAAUACAUUUAUGGGUUUCUUACCCAAAAAAAGAAAUGUGAAAGCAAGAUUAGAAAGCAGUGGUAAUCAAUUUCUAAUACGGCAGUGAAGUUAAGGAAUAUACUUGUUAAAAUUGCUAACCUUUUGCGAAUGUCCCUAACUUCGUGUGUCUUAUUGAAUCUGCAGAAAGCUAGAAAGGCAUCAAUUUUAUCAAGUUGUAGGUUUAUCAACUAUUUUGCAGGUUAUGUGAAUGUGAUUGUAAAAACAAAAGAUGAGUUUUGAAAAUCCUUAGGAAGAAUAUAUUUAUUUCUUAUGAGGUAAAUCUCAAAUUCUUCUAUCCUUGUGAGCACCAUUUUGAUAGAACUCCACAGUUUUUUGACCAAAAAGGUUGUGGGGCAGCAUGCGAAUGAUUUUGCUUUUGCAGAGGCUAUUUUGUAUUGCCUAAUUCUUAUGAAAGUUCUGUAGAAGGUUUUAUAUUUGUUUUGCGAGGAAGGACAUCUAGUCCACCUUUCUCUGUAAAGCCUUUUAUACUAACAAAUAUUCUGUUUCUAACCCCUGCCUCCGCGACAGUAAAAAAAUGAAGACAGCAAAAUUUGAUUGCAUGCGGUCAUGUCGAUAAGAAGCUCAUUCAUUUCAGGUCAAAGUCUGGAGAUGAAUUUGCAGAUUGGAACCAAGCAAUGCCAUUCUUGGCCAAUAUAAAGCUACCUCUGGAGACAACGUUGAUGUUAAAUUGAACAGUCUGCCCCCUCUGUAUUUUGAUGUCGUAUUACACAUUGACAAUGCAAGUUGGGAUGGUGUGCCUUUUCUCAUAAAAGCUGGCACAGGACUAAUCAGACACAGGUAAUAGCUAUUUCAGUUUUGAUGUUUAUUUUCAUCAAAGAUAGAUAUUGUCGUUGUUUGUACAUUACUAGAUUAUGGUAGGAACCUAGAACACACACUUAUAAAUCCGGGUUGUAAGGGAAGGGUAACCAUUAGCUUAUAUUCCCAUUUAGAUUUACGGCUUACAAAAUUUGUAAAAUCAUAAAAUUAAGAAACAAAUUAUUAUCAUUGACGUAGUCUACUUCAAUUUUUUCACGACAUUCCAGUUCAAUAUCUAUGUGUGUGUUAUCUCCUAUCUCAUAAUUCACAUAGCCUAGUUCAAUGCUUCAUAACUUCUGUAAUUGUUGUCUUCACUUCACUGAUCAAGAUAAUGCACUAACUAUGGAAGUGGAAAGGUUGUAGUCUUGUAUAAUGAAAUGCCCAUUUUAUUAAUGAUUGAACAAUCUUUUAUUUCUCAAACACUUGUGAUUCAGAGAUUUUUGUAUAAAGAGCUAAAACUAAUGAUUACCGUCUCUAAGAGUAAAGACAGAGUUGGCUUAAACCAACAUUUCUUUUGCAAUACAGGAUGUGCUCACCAACGUUAGCCAUAUAAUUAUAGAGUGAAGAUACGUACAGUUUCUUCAUGUUCUAGGGAACAUCUAUAAUGAACGAUUUGGGCAUAACAUCGAUCUUGCCACAAAUGAACUAAUAUUACGCAAUGUGCCUGAUGACGCCAUUCUAGUUAGAGUCAACAAUAAAGUUCCAGGAUUAGGCUUGCAAUUGGAUGCUUCGGAGCUUAAUUUGGUCUAUAAGGAUAAGUAAGCACUUUAGUUUAUGGAACUUCUUCUGUGUCUACUAUUGACUUGUUGUCACCUUUGAUGUCCUUCAUGUGCUUGUCUUUGGUGUUGGUACUGUAGGUAUAAUGUGGAGGUGCCUGAUUCAUACGAGCAUCUUCUUCUUGAUGUUAUCGACGGCGACAACCAUCUCUUCAUGAGAAGCGAUGAGCUUACUGCUGCAUGGAAUAUUUUAAACCCCGUUUUAUAGGAAAUAGACAAGAACAAUAUUGCACCAGAACUAUACGAGCUGGGUGGUAGAGGUCCCGUUGGAGUGUAUUAUCUUUGGCUGAAACAUGGGGUUCAUUAGACUGAAGAUUAGAAGCAACACUUGUUAUAGGGUAAUGUUGCCAAUCUUUCCACAACUAAGACAAAUACAUGGUAGCUUUGUACAUGUAAAUUGUGUGAAAUUAGGCUUGAGAAAUGCCAAUCCGGAUUCAGAGGGUAAUUGUCAAUAGCAUAAACCCCUUAUUGAAAUUGGAUUUUUCUUGUAGGUGAUUUGGGUCAUGCUAAAAAACGAUGUGCUGAGACUUAGUUUGAGAUAACGGGUAGCAUGCAUCUGAGUCAAAAAGUACCUUAAAUUUCAUUUUCUAAUGAACAAAUGAUUUAUGGGAAUUUGCUUGUUUUAAUAUGAAGAUUUGUGUAUGGUUAUUUGUUAGUGUGAUCAAAGAGUAAGCUUUUGCUAGAUUGUACAUGAAUUGUUGAUGAUGAUGGAUAUCGAUUGGUGGUUUUGAGUGAAUGUGUCUGAUCCUAGAUUCUCUUUGGGUAUUGACAGGGGGGAGGAUAUGAAAAAAGAAAGUUAUUGAAAUAAAUUUACACGUUAUUUUUUAAAUUGUAGGAGACUUGUAGAGGUUCUUCUCAAGCAUGCUUUUUGGUGAGUGAAUUUGAUACCACUGAAGUGUAAUAUUCUACUUUGGAGUAGGAAUUGCAUAAUGUUGUUGAUUCAAGAAUUUUCACCGCAUUUCAGAACGUCCUAUGCAGAAUGCUCUACAAAAUUGCAUAUCAAACGGAGUUUAAAAGAUUGAACUAACACAAAGAAAUUCCAUUGAAAGCUUAGCUGGCAACAAAAUAUUCUAUAAUCUCGUGUUGUAGAUAUUAUGCCGAUCUUUUUUUUUUUUCUCAACAGAAGUUUUAUGCUUAUUGAUUUAUGAAAUGAGAAAAAAAAACGUAAGUGUUUAUGUUUGGCAGAAAAGACUUAAGAACAAAAGCCUUAAGAACAAAAGCCUUAAUCUAUUUUAUAGAAGACUUUAAUUUUUAAUCUCAAGACGAGUAAUUCAACGGCAGAAAAGUCAGUUACAAUAAAGCGCAUCAUGGAAUCCCUGAUAGAAACUUAAGUGUUUAUGUUUGGCAGUCGAGAAAGCUAAAGAAAAUGAAAGAAAAUCUCAUUCUGGAAACUUAUAGAAUAUUCACAUUAAUAUCAUGAGUACAACUUACACACACAUUUAUAUAUAGAAGCUCAGCUGAGCUUGUUACAGUUCGUUAGCUAAUUUGUUACACACACGUGAGAGCUAACCCAAAUAACUAAACACACACGUGAGAGCUAACCCAAAUAACUAACUAAUCCACGUCAGCUAAAGUGAGCUGAUUAGCUGCUGUCAAGAGCACAAUAACAGCAUGUACACGAUUUCUCUGUUCCUUCUCAUUUAAUCAGUUUCACUAACAUCCCUCCUUGAACUGGAGUUUCUUCUUCUCUUAUUACUUCUUUCCUCUGCUCUUCUUACUUUAUCAACUUCACUGACAAUCCCAAACAUAAUUUUAUUCUUUUAUUGAUAAAGUCGGUUCAUAUUACAAUUAAAUUACGGGUGGAAAAAAGAAAAAGACUGAAAUUAUGAUCGCACAAUCUAAUUGAUGGGCCUUCCUUCAAAAAGCGAUCUGCCAUUAAUAAUGACACAAGGUAUAUGGGAAAUCAUGGGCCAAUAUUUUCCUUCAUCCUUUCUGCACCUUUCUUCUAUCAACGGGCAAUCAUCGAUAUAUAGUUGCAAAAGUGAUUUAGGCAGGCCCUGCUCUGGAAAGUAUGUGAGCUUGGGACAAUAACUAAGACGCAGAUAUUUCAAUGAAGUGAGGUUUUCACCAAUUGAGGAUAGGCAUUCCAGAUCUGGCAUACAUGAAAUCCACAGUUCGGUUAGAGAGGCAGGAAACGGCGGAGGUGACACCAGGUCUGGACAUCCUCCCCAGAUUGUGAAUCGCCUGAGAGAGGUGAAUCUGUUGAAUCCCCACUCGAGCAAUGGCUUUGAUAUCUUCAGAUUAAAAACCUCAAGAGAUUGGAGGUUGGUGGGAAAACCAUCCUCUGGGAAUGACACCACGCUAGGGCACCCAGUUAUGUCUAAAUGUAGAAGAGAAGUGAGAUUGUGCAUGCAGUUGGGUAAGGCCUUCAGAUUCUUACAAUCGCAUAUCGUGAGCUCAGUCAGCUUCGUAGAAGGCAAUCCUUCUUCGGGAAAUGAUUCAAGAUUUGGACAUUCAGAUAUCCAAAUCUUUUGAAGAUGGUGGAGAUUAUGCAAACCGGCAGGUAAUGAUUUAAGAUUUUCAAGCUCUGAAAUAGUGAUUUCUUCAAGGGAUGUAUUGUCCAACCUUUCUGCUAACGACUCCAGCUUUGAACAGCGACUGACAUGAAGGCACUUAAGAGCCCGAGGUAAAUUUCCAUUCCGUAACAAAAAAGCAAGAUUCGAGCAAGCCAUGACCCCAAGGUGCUCCAGCAUGGCAGGUAACUCGUUUUCUGAAGAAAAGGAUGUGAGGGAGGUGCACCCUCUGCUGCUACUGCAGAUGUCCUGUUCCGCCAUCAAUGUCCUCAAAUUACAACAGUCGCUAACAAUCAGCCGCUUCAGGCUUGGAGGUAGCUGGAUUCUGUCAAUAUAUGUCAAAGAAUCACAUCUUUUAAUCCUCAGACUUUCAAGAGAUGAAUUGCUAUUUUGCAUCCAUGCCUCAGGUAAGGAUUCCAAAGCACUGCAUUCUUCAAUUACAACUGAUCUCAACUGGGAAGGCAGAGCAGCCUGCGGAAAGGAAACAAGGGAAGCGCAGCCUAAUAUCCGCAUGUCUGUAAGGGAACUAAGGGUGAGCAAUGCUUGUGGCAGCCUUGUAAGGCCUUCACAACAACUCAAUUGCAAAAAUUGAAGCCUGCACGGCAACUCUGGCUGUUGCUGGUCAUGUUCUUCCACUGUUACCAAGGAAAUCAGUUGGGGACAUCUUGAAAUCUGCAACCGAUUAAGGGAUCUAAUGUCUUGCGGCAACCGAGUUUCACUCCGCCAAAAAUAUUCCUGCUCUCGAACAUUAACAAUCUCCAAAUUUUCCAAUUCAGGUAGCCCUUGUUCAAAAAGACCUGCUAAAACCUCUUCAAUAUGCACUAAACGUGGGCUGCUGAACACCACCCUUUUACAUCCAUCGAUUCGUAAUUCACUGAGAGCAGGAAGACAUUGAAUUGUCACUAGCAACUGAUGACAACUGAUGAUGACGAGCUUCUCCAAUAAAAGAAGACGUUUGGGCAAUGUUCCUCGCAGUUUAUGACAAUUGAAAAGAGAAAGCUUUCGCAGCUUAGGAAACACUUCAUCAACUUCUUGACCAGCUCCGAAAGGAAUCCACUCUUCCCAUUCUUGCAUAUUCGCAAAAUAAAGAGUCUCCAGUGAUGGAAAGGGCACUGAGCAACUGUUUCCAUAAAACUCCGACCCCACGCUCACUACUCCGUCCAUUCCACUUAUAUCAAGUUCCUUUAGAAAUGGUAGUUGCCCUACCGAUGGCAAAGAUGUAGACGUGCACUGACGUAAUUCUAGACGCGCCAAUUUUGAGAAAGAGGAAUCUCCUAUCCAACUUGGAAAUUUUGUACCACCACAGCCUGUGAUGGUGAGCACUUGUACAUCUCGAUGUGGUUUUAGCACGCUAAGAACAUGUGUCUCAAAUUCACACCGUUCAGAUCGUGCACUCCAUUCGAGCGAUAAAGCUUCAAGAUUCACCUUGUUGUUUAACUGAGCCUCACUGGCAUCGCCAACAUCUUUCACAUUCUCCAACUUCGAAAUUUCCAGUCUCCCCUGAAGAUGCGCCAAAGACUUUAACUCUCGUAGCCCAGAACCACUGUCUUUUCCCACAACAAAACUACCCAACGUCAAGAGACUGGUCAAUUUACCAAAUCCCUUCGGCAUUUCCUCCAAUUCAUAGGCAUCAGAAUUUCUUAGAUGACGCAGUUUUGUCAGGUUUCCCAUGUCUUUACACAACUUCUUGAGCUUCCAACAGCCUUCCAACAAAAUUGUAUGCAAGUUGUAAAAUGAAUUAAUUGACUCGGGCAAAAUUUGAAUUUCAGUUCUCGAUAAGUUUAGAAAGCGUAAAUGCUUCAAGUUUCCAAUUUCAUUUGGCAGGUUGAAGAUGUUUCUAUACCCGCGCAGAGAAAAGACCCUUAAGCGUGGGAGAUGAUUCACCAGCAUCUGAAGAACACUCCAAGCCAAAUAAUUUUCAUCGAAAACUGAUAACUUCAUUGGCAAAAAGGUUCGCAAAUGUUCCACAUCACAGAUGGACUUCAACCUCUUUUCGCCAUCAUUUUCCCCCUGAAUAUACGAAAAAUGACGAAGACUUGCAGAAAACUUUUGUCGGUUUUCACUUUUUAAGGUAUCCUCCAUUCUGAAGUAUAGCUCCCCUGCAGCCCAUCGAGCAAGGUCAUUGAUUCGAUCAUGCAUCACAAAUCGGGAUGUAUCUUUACUUGAUAGUUGAAAUAACGACCUUGAAUGUAACUCCCGAACGAACUCGCGGCCCAAAUGUUCCAUUUUCCUUCCAUUGUAUUCUUGAUCCAAGAAACCUUCAGCCGUCCACAAUAAAAUUAUCUGCUCUUCUUGAAAUUCAUAAUCUUUCGGAAACAAUGAGCAGUAUGCAAAGCACUGUUUCAACUGUGGAGGAAGAAAAUGGUAGCUCACUCUUAGGGCUGGUAAAAUAUCACUAUCUCGUAAAUUCCAUAUGUCAGUCUUGAGCACAAAUUCCCAGUCUCCUGGGUCAUAUCUGCCGCGUAAAAGGCCGCCAAGAGUUUUUGCGGCCAAAGGCAAUCCUCCGCACUUUAUCACUAUCUGCUCUCCAACUUCCUUCAAGGAUUGGUGCCUGUUGAAAUCCCUAGCCCCCAAGGAGAUUUGAGUGAGCACACACAAACAAUCAUCAUCUGACAACUCUUUCAAUUGAUACACUGGAUCAGCCCCCAUUCUUUCUGCAACGACUAGAUUGCGAGUUGUGACAACAAUCUUACUUCCGGCUGCACCAGCUCCAAAGGGACAGCUCAGUUCGCUCCAACGUCUGUAGUUCUCGUUCCACACGUCAUCCAAAACCAGCAAAAAUUUAUUUCCGCACAAUUGCUUCUUCAGCUUCUCUUGAAGCAAAUUUAAAUCAUCAUCAUUGUUACUCUGAUCUUUAGCAAUGGAAUUCAGGAUUGACUUUGUUACCCUGGAAACAUCAAAAUCCUCAGAGACACAAGUCCACGCUUUGAUCUCAUAAUGACGUUGCACUCGAUCAUCGUUAUAGACAAGCUGAGCAAGAGUCGUCUUCCCGACGCCGCCCAUUCCAUUUAUAGAAAUAACAGAGAAUCCAUCAUCAGCUCUUAAAUCAUCAUUCAACAACAAUUCAAUAAUCUCCUCCUUCUCUUUUUCCCUGCCAUAAACUUUGGCUUCAGUCACCAAAGAAGUUGUGGGUAAUCUUUGUCCUACAUCUCUAGACUUGCCAACUGAAAUUAUAAUUUUCGAAUCCAGCAGGCCUUUCUGCGCUGUAGUAAUAUCUUGCAACCGAUCAGUGAUCCCCUUUAUUUUCGACACCAUCUUUGAUUCAAACUGAAUAGAUCGAGGACUAAAGUUGGUGCCGCAAGUGGGAAUGAGCUUCCGAAACUUACUUGUAUUUGCACUCGAACUGGGUUGAUCAGCAGCAGCUGGUUCUUGAAGCAGCAACUCCCCCCGCAGAGCUUCAGUUUCGAGCUCAUCCAACACGUCUUGAACAUCAUAAGCCAAGUUCUGAAGAUUGUCGAGCCACGUCUUCACUGGCUUCUCCCUGGUCUGCCUAUCCUCAGCAUCAGCAAGCACUGCCUGAAUCAUCUCCAACAUUCCCUUCCACUUGAUGAAAUCAGCCUUCAACUUCUUAUGCCGUGUAAACAGCUCAAGUCCCUGUGGAGCCAGCUUUUUUAUCAGCAGCUCAACUGACGCACUGAGCACCGCCUCUCCUAUGAAUGACAUUUUUUUUUUCUUUUUUUGGUUAAAGGAAACAGAAUAAAUUAUGAAAAAUGAAGAACAAAAGAAAUGUGCAGAAAUUGAACAAAGUCUAGUUUGUGGUUGUGGUUUGUGAAUGAAGAGCAAGAGCAAGCAAGAGAAUGCAAUGUGAAAUGGUGCACACAAAAAACGAACCUUUGUUUUUUAUCAGCACCAAUAAUUCAGCUAGCGACCACCAAAACACUACCACGCCGAUCCACGCGUUUCUGCAACUAAAGUCAAGCAUGAGUAAUCAGUUGGGUUAUUUAUCUUUUAUCAGUUGAAUUAUUUUAUAAAAUAUUUUAAAAUUGUUUGAUAAUUAAUUAUUAAUCAAAUAUUUAAAUAGUUUUAUUUAAUAGACAAUUAAAAAAAAUCUCCUAAGUAAUAUUGUAUAAUUUCAAUAAUUUACAUUUGUUUGUUGUAAUUAUGACUAUCUAAUACUAGUCUAUUAUAUAUAAAUCUACCUUUGGUAUUAGUUGUCACUAAAUUAAUUUUACUUUUUGCUGAUAGUGAGAGGCAAACGCGUUUAAUAUUAACACAAACACGCAAAACAUUUUCGCCACUAGAGAAGCAUGGGUAGUUUGAUUUGUUUAUUUAUCAUAGACCUCAUUUAUCAUUUGAUUAUUAUAUAAAAUAUUUUAUAAAUGAUUAGGUAGAUUUAAGUAUAAAUAAAUUAGUCGGUCGUCUUAUGCCCAUGUUUUAUAUAGACCUUAUUUUUUAGUUAUUUUUCUAAAAAUACUCUAAUUAAUAAAAAAAUUUGAAUUACAUACUGCAACUAUUUUAGAUAUUUCUUUAAUUAAUAAUUAUUUUACAACUAAGAUUUAUUUAUAUAAAUUCUAUAUUUGACAACUUUGAUGAUAAAUAGCUAUAAAAGUUUGUGUUAACUAAUUAUCUAUAUAUCAUUGCAUGAGAUGGCUAGCAAUUCAUAGAGACAUUUUGCAUUUUAACGAAUUUACUUGAUAGAAAAAAUGAUAAUGAGUAAAUUUUACUAUAAAUUAAAUUAAACUGAAUUAUAUAUAAUUUGAUCUCAAAGUCUUGAGAUGGAUUGGCAAAUGGAAUCAAGAAUAGAUUGAUAGUAACACCGGUUCCUUGUUUGUUUGAAUUUAAUUAUGAUUAUUUAUUUAAAUAUUUAUCUUUUGUUUGAGUGAAUUUAUUUUAAUGAGUAUUGUUUGAGAUAAGGAAUAAUUUAUUUAUUUAUUUAUUUUUUUAAAAUAAAAUAUAAAAGAUUAUCAUCUUUAUCGUAUUUUUAUAAAAGCAGGGUAAAUUAUGAAAAAUGAAGAAGAAGAAAAUGUGCAGAAAUUGAACAAAGCCUAGUUUGUGGUCGUGGACUCGUGGUUUGCGAAUGAAGAGUGAAAAAGCGCACACAAAAACAGAGAUUUACAACCACUCGGCUCAGCCCGAGUGGCCAGGGCUGCUGCCCUCCAAGUUGGAGGGCAGCAGUUCGAACCCCCACAAAAGUAUUGUGGGGGUAUUUCCUUCCUCAAUUAAUUUGAGUGAAGGUAGUCUUCUCCCUUACUCAUGAGUGAGGAGUAGACAUCCUUCGAAUAUUUGUGAGGGUUAAAAUCUGGGCAGAGCUCCAUUAACAUUGAUGUCAGUUGGUCCCAGUAAUAGUAUGAUUUGUAAAUAUCAGUAAUAGUCUCAUGUAUAUGAGUUGUAAUCUGAGCAAUAGUCUCAUGUAAUAAAAAAAAAAAAAACAGAGAUUUACUGACCAAAACACCACCAUGUACCAAUAAUUCAGCCACGACGACCAAAGCACCACGACGUCAAUCCACGCGUUCUUAGCACCAAGUCAAGCAUGAGUAAUUGGUUGGGUUAUUUAUCUUUUACCAUUUGAUUAUUAUAUAAAUUAUUUUAAAAUCAUUUGAUAAAUAAUCAUUAAUCAAAUAUUUAAAUAAUUUUUUAUUUUGUUUAAUACACAAUAAUAUAUCUGAUAUGUACUAAUGUAUCAUUUAAAUAAUACAUAUUUAUUUAAAGUGAUUAUGACUAACUAAUACUAACUUACCGCUAGAUGUCUUUUAAAUUAAUUUUAAUUUUUAGUAAUAGUGAGAGAUUCGCUGGUGAGAUUUCUCUUUGAGUCAAAAUCAUUAAAGUUAUUCAAUUAAUUUUGGGCAUACAUAAAUUUUUUGGAAGUAUUUCAUAGGAUUCGAUCAUCCGAUUAAUUUUGGCCGUACAUAAUUUUAAUGCCACGAAAGUAGCGUGAGCCGUGCUCUACUAAUUCCUUCCAAUAAUAUGACAAUUCUCUAAAGAAAAGUCAGUCUAGCGACAACCAAAACACGACCACGCGGACGCGUCUCCACCACUAGAAUUGAUUUUGAUUACUGAUCAUAUAGGUGUCGCUUAUCAUUUGAUUAUUAUAUAAAAUAUUUAUUAAUCUAUUUAUUUUAUUAAGAUCAGUCAGUUUUAAGCUUAGGCAAAUUAAGUUGAAGGCCAUUUUAGUUAUUUUUUUAAUAAUAUCUAAUUAAUUUUAAAAAAGAUAUAAUUUCUUAAAAUAUAAAGUCUAUUAUCAUAUCUUAUCAAUAAUUCAUCAUCUCAACCAUCUAAGUACUAUCAUUCUAAAUAUUUUAUUUAAAAAUUAUAUUGUUCUUAUUUAUUUAUUUAAUUUAUAAAAGUUCUGCUCGAAAUAAAAAAGAUAUUUUCUUGAUUAAUUUUUUAAGAUUUUUUUUAAAAUUAUUUAGGAUGUCAUUAAUUAUUGUUGAAAUUCAAGAUAUAAUUAAAUAAGGAUGAAUUUUGAUAUCUUUUCUACUUCAUUUAAGUGUUAAAGGUUUUGAAAAUAAGUAGGUCUCCUGAAAAAAAUUUACUUAAAGCCUUGCGAACUCUAAUUAGAGCCCAUCUUGAUUUUAUUUAGUAGGCAAUAAUGUAUCUCACACGCACUAUCUCACAUGUAAUAAUGUGUAAUUAAAAUUAUUUACUUUUGUUUAUGGUAAUUAUGAAUGAAUACCUAAUAACUAAUUUAUUAUAUAUUGUAUUUUUUUAUUAGUUGUCUUCUUUACUAGAAAUUUUGUCAUAAUUCUUACGCGGUUGAUCAAAAUAAAAAGUAACCUUUAAUUAUGCUAACUCAUCAAAAGCUAGAUUACAUGAAAUCAUCCCCAUUUUGAUUUGUGAAGACUGAAGAGUAAAGCAGGGAAGAGCGGGUAAUGUGAAAUGGCGUACACGGAAACACAGCUUUACUGACCAAAACACCGCCACGUCAGUCCACGCGUUUCUGCCACUAAAGUCAAGCAUGAGCAAUUGGUUGGGUUAUUUAUCUUUUGCCAUUUGAUUAUUCUAUAAAAUAUUUUAAAAUCAUUUGAUAAAUAAUCAUUAAUAAAAUAUUUUAAUAGAUUUUUAUUUUACUUAAUACACAAUAAUAUAUCUGGUAUGUAAUAAUGUAUAAAUAAUUUACAUUUAUUUAUAGUGAUUAUGACUAGCCAAUACUAAUUUACCAUUAGAUGUCUUUUAAAUUAAUUUUAAUUUUAAUUGAUAGUGAGAGAUUCACCAAUGAGAUUUGUCUCCGAGUCGAAAUCAUCAAAGUCAUCCAAUUAAUUUUGGGCGUACAUAAUCUUUUUGGAGUAUUUCAUAGGUUCCGAUUAUACCUAAGUGCAAAUUUUCGAGUUUGUCAUGAGAUGUUGAAAUUUUGCUUUUGAUGAAGCAACUAAUUAUUAAUUAAGCUUGUUCUUAGUUGUUCUCGGCCCCCAUCCAAAUCGCACGUCUUUUGAACUAUUCUUCUGAUAUAAUAUUACCCUUUCAUUCAAAUAAAAUUAAAUAAUUCUUUUGAGAUACCCAUGGAUAAUUUAGUAGUAGUAGUAUUAUUAUUUUAUCAAGUUACGUACUAUUAUUUAAUGAUAAUUGGAAAAGAUAAAAUCUACAUAAAUUGAACGAAGUCCGUGGUUUGAGAAUGAAGAGUAAAAGCAGGCAAGAGAAUCCAAUUUGAAAUUGGUCAACAAUAACAAGCUCUGCUUGACUCACCAUGCACUAAUAAUACAAUUCAGCUCCGCUACUUCGAGGAAAUUGCACCAUUUAUGCCACGAAAGUGGCUUAAGCCGUUAAUUCCAACAAUACGACAAUUCUCUAAAGACGACCACACAGAUGCGUACCCACCACUAGAAAAGCACAAGUAAUUUGAUUUUAAUUAUUGAUCAUACGGAUUUGAUUUAUCAUUUGAUUAUUAUAUAAAAUAUAAUCUAUUUAUUUUAUUAAGAUCAGUUUUAAGCAUAGGCAAAUUAAGCAGUCAUUUUAGUUAUUUUUUUAAUAAUACUCCAAUUAAUUUUUAAAAAAAAAUAUAGUUUCUUAAAAUACAAAGUCCAACGUCAUAUCUUAUCAACAAUUCAUCAUCUCAACAAUCUAAGUGCUAUCAUUCUAAAUAUUCUAUUUAAAAUUUGUAUUGUUCUUACUUAAUUUAUAAAAGUUAUGAUCGAAGUAGAAAAAAUAUCUUAUUGAUUACUUUUUUAAGGAUUUUUUAAAUUGUUUAGGAAGUUCUUGAUUAUUUUUGAAAUUCAAGAUUAUAAUUAAAGAUGGAUGAAUUUUGAUCUCUUUUCUAUUUCCUUUAAGUGUUAAAAAAAAAUUCCUAAAGCCCUGCAAACUCUAGCUAGAGCCGGUCUUGAUUUUAUUAAAUAGGCAAUAAUGUAUCUCAUAUACACUAUCUCGUAUGUAAUAAUCUAUUGCCCAUUUGCCUUUAACUUUUUGAAGUGCAUUGAAAUCUAAACCGAGUGAAAGGAUAAAGAGAAGGAGAAAAGAAAUCAAAUAAAAAAAGAAAAUUUUAUUUAUUUAUUUACUAUAAAAAUCUUGGGACCAUAUGCAUUCCAGUCUUGGUUUUGAAAUACCCGUACAAAAAUUGAUAAGAGACAAAAAUAUAUACCAAAAUAGUUCCUUUUGCAAUCAAAUGAUCAAUGGAAGAGAGAAUACAUAAAUAUGAUCUAUUUUCCUUUCUCUGGAGGGUCAAGAACCGACUUUGGAUAAGAAGCUCAAAUCCAGUACCGUUCAGUAUAUCAUCGACAUAUAUUUAAUCAGCUGAUUAAAAUUCGGUAUGAAUUCAUGACUAAAUUUUGCCCUAAUUAAAAUGCUGGCACUGAUUAGGACUCUUACAUUGGAGACGGGAUCCUAACUGUACCCAUUUUUUUUUUUUUAAUUUUCUAGUUUAAUUAAAAUGUUAAAAAUAGAAUUUAUUCAAAUUUUGGCAAAAAAAACCCAAUCUCGAUGCUUUCUUUUAUACUACCACAGCCCAAUCCUUUUAAUUUAUAAUUUAUUUUAAUUCAAAUACUAAAUAAAUAAAAAAUAAUUACGUUCAGAACAUUUAGUAUAUUCUGAAUAACUGAGACAUUUCUUGUAUUUUCAUCAGUAGAGACUAGAUAAUGUUUUUUUAUCCUGAUUAAAAAAUUGAUACAGAAUUAGUUAUCAUUUUCUUGUUCCAAUUAAAUAAUCGAUAGGGAUCGAUAAUAGGCAAUGAGACGUUCUGAUUGCCGAUUUCCAUUGACUUGCACUCUCAAUUUUAAGACUUCAAAUUAACAAGUCAGUCAACCGCAAGUUCAUUUCAUCUUAUCAAAAUAUUAUAAUCAAGAAUAAUUUAAUGGCUAUACAUAGUUCAAUAAUCUAAUGUACAUGAUUCACUAACUUUUGAGAAGGACAAUUUACACUUAUUUUAUACAAUACUUGAUGCUGAAUCAUCCUUAUCAUGAGUCAUAAGAAAUUGAACAACGUCUAGUUUGUGGUUGUGGUUUGUGAAUGAAGAGUAAGAGCAAGCAAGAGAAUGCAAUGUGAAAUUGUGUUCACAAAAAACGAAGCUUUGCUUUUUAUCAGCACCAAUAAUUCAGCUAGCGACGCCCAAAACACUACCACGCCGAUCCACGCGUUUCUACCACUAAAAUCAAGCAUGAGAAAUCAGUUGGGUUAUUUACUUUUUAUCAGCUGAAUUAUUAUAUAAAAUAUUUUAAAAUUAUUUGAUAAUUAAUUAUUAAUCAAAUAUUUAAAUAGUUUUAUUUAAUAGACAAUAAAACAAUCUUGUAUGUAAUAUUGUAUAAUUUUAAUAAUUUACGUUUGUUUAAUUGUAACUAUGACUAUCUAAUAUGUUGAGUUAGCUGGUGAAGCAAAUCAGAAGGAGAUCAAAACGACGUGGGAGUGUUGCGUUUCGAGGAAUAACUUUUAUAAGUAAAACGAAACUGUGAGUUGUCGUUUUAGCUUUAGAAAGUCACAAGCUCGUCACGUGUUGAAGCCAAGUCGUUAAGGGUCGUUUAUUUUCAUGUGAGAAAAGCGUGAGCUUCUGGGCUUAGGGAGUUAGUUAAAAAGCUGUUAACAUAGCUGGUUUUCGAAGAGCAAAAACAGAGAGUAUUUUCAAGAGAGAUUGAGAGAAGUUCGAGUUAAAAAGAUCAGCUUCUUGGUCUCUGAAUUGUAUUCUGUAAAGUCUCAUUGAAAUUCCUUACAAAUCAAUAAAGCUGACCAUAUUGUUUCUCUGUGGAUGUAAGCUGGUGUAAAACAGCUGAACCACGUUACAUUGUUUUUGUUCUUGAUUCUUUGUUAACUCAAUUCAAUUUUUCAUCUGUGUUUCUGAUUGAUUAAACUUAGCCAUAAUCGAAUCUUGUGAGCAUCUUGUUUGGUCUGAUUAGAGAGGUCUUGGGCUGCAAUUGGUGUUGACUGGUUUAUUGUUUUGGUCUCACGAAUUGCAACAAUUGGUAUCAGAGCUUGGUCUUAAGAAUCAGAUCCAAGUAUGGCAAUGGCAAAGAUUGAUUUGGAAAAGUUUAAUGGAAAGAAUGAUUUCAACAUGUGGAAGGUGAAAAUGGAGGCUCUGCUAAUCACACAAGGGCUAAGGGAUGCAAUCGAACCAGUUACCAAGAAAGAAGAGAAAGAAGCUUCAUCAUCAAGAACACCUGAGCAAGCUGCUGAGAUAGACAAGAAAGCCAGAAGCACCAUCAUCUUGAGUCUUGGUGACUCUGUAAUCAGGGAGGUUGCCAAAGAGAGGAUUGUUGCAGAGCUUUGGGCAAAGCUUGAUAGACUGUACAUGACUAAGUCUCUAGAAAACAGAUUAUAUAUCAAGAAAAGGAUGUUUACUCUCAAAAUGGGUGAAUGAUCCUCUCUUGAUGAUCACAUUGACGAAUUCAAUAAAGUCUGUGAUACAUUGGAGACUAUAGAUGAAGGGUUAGAUGAUGAAGGUAAGGCACUGCUUCUGGUGAGUUCACUGCCGCAAUCAUACUCAAAUUUUGUUGAUGCCCUCAUGUAUGGUAGGCAGACCUUGUCCUUAGAUGAAGUUAAGGCAGCCCUAAAUACAAGGGGGUUACAACAAAAAUCUGGGGGUAUACAGAAUGGUGAAGGUCUGAUAGCAAAGGGGAAAUCUAGCAAGGGUGAUGGAAAGAAGAAACAGAAACAAGACAAGAAUAAGGCAAAGUCUCAGAAUCUGAAGUGUUUUGAAUGCCACAAAGAAAGGCACUUCAAAAGGGACUGUCCAGAGAUAAAGAACAAAAAGAAGAAUCAACAUGGGGAUGCAGCAACAGUUGAAGAAGAAGGAUAUGAGUCAGCUGGAGUUUGUGUAGCAACUGAGAACAUGCAAAGAGGUAAAUGGAUCCUAGACUCUAGAUGUACCUUUCAUAUGUCUCCUUACAAGAAUUAUUUUUCUAACUAUCAAGAUAUUGAUGGAGGGAAGGUAAUGAUGGGAAACAAUGCAGUUUGUAGAAUCAUAGGUAUAGGGACUGUGAAUCUUAAACUGAAAAAUGGGGAAAUCUGGGAACUUAGAGAAGUUAGGCAUGUCCUUAACCUAAAGAGAAAUCUGAUUUCUCUUGGAAUGGUUGAUCAAAAUGGUUUUAGCAUUAAGCUUGAAUCUGGAAAGCUAAUGAUCUCUAAUGGGACCAGAACUGAAAUAGAGGGUACUAAGAGGAAUGGGGUAUAUGUCCUGGAUGGAGAAGCCAUUACAGGAUUGUCAAGUGUAUCCAUUGGGUCUGAUAAAGACAAGACCAAACUCUGGCAUUUGAGACUUGGGCAUAUGAGCAUCAAGGGUCUAAAGGAACUGCAGAAACAAGGGGUUCUAGGAGAUGAGAAGAUCACUGAGCUGGACUUUUGUAAAGACUGUGUACUUGGUAAAACAACAAGGAGCAGUUUCAAAAGCUCAACUCACACCACCUGUGGAAUACUAGACUACAUACAUUCAUACCUCUGGGGGCCAGCACAAACAACCUCACUUGGAGGUAACAGCUACUUUCUGUCAAUAAUUGAUGAUUUCUCAAGGAGAGUUUGGGUUUAUGUUUUGAAGCAUAAGGAUCAUGUGUUUGAAAAAUUCAAAGAGUGGAAGUCAUUAGUUGAGAAUCAGAUUGGAAGAAAGGUGAAGAAACUCAGGACUGAUAAUGGUCUUGAAUUCUGCAAUCAAAGAUUUGGUAGCUACUAUGCACAUGAAGGUAUAGCUAGACACAAAACAGUGAGAAUGACACCUCAGCAGAAUGGGCUAGCAGAGAGGAUGAAUAGGACCUUAAUGGAUAAAGUCAGAUGCAUGUUAGUUCAAGCACAACUCCCUAAAAGUCUGUGGGUAGAAACUUUACUAACUGCAUGUUACUUGGUAAAUCUCAGUCCUUCAGUUGCUCUAGACUACAAAACCCUAUUUGAAGUUUGGCAUGGUAAACCAGCAAGCUAUGAUGUUUUGAGGGUAUUUGGCUGCCCUGCAUAUGCACAUAUCAGACAAGAUAAAUUGGCACCAAGGGCACUUAAAGGACAGUUUAUUGGGUACCCUGAAGGAGUUAAGGGCUAUAAACUGUGGUGCACUGAUUUCAACCCACCAAAAUGUAUCCUUAGUAAAGAUGUGGUAUUCAAUGAAGGGGUUGUACUGGAAAAUAAGAAAUCUGCUGGAGACAGCCAAUAGGGAGAGGAUGAACAGACCAAUAAUCAGUUUGAGGUGGAGCAGAUUAUCCAUAAACAAUAUGAAGAUGAUGGAAAUUCUGAAAGCAUUAGUGAAGAACAGGAAGAAUGCAUUGAAACUCAAACCCAGCCCCAACAGCAACAAACUUAGCUGCAGAAUUAUCAGUUAACAAAGGACAGAAAGAAGAGACAAAUAAGACCUCCACAGAGGUAUGGAUAUGCUGACUUAAUAGCUUAUGCACUUGCUGCAUCUCAUGAAAUAGAAGUAGAUGAACCUAAGAACUACUUUGAAGCAAUUCAUAGCCCUCACAAAGCUGAAUGGCAGAAAGCUAUGGAUGAUGAGAUAGCAUCACUGCAUAAGAACAACACUUGGGAAUUGGUUGAAAAGAUCAACAACAGGAAAACAAUGGGUUGCAAAUGGAUUUUCAGGGUUAAGGAAGGAUUAACAGCUGCUGAGCCUAGAAGAUUCAAAGCUAGGUUAGUAGCUAAGGGCUAUACACAAAAGGAAGGAGUGGACUUCAAAGAAGUCUUCUCACCUGUGGUCAGACAUGCUUCAAUAAGAGUGUUAUUGGCAUUAACUGCAGUGAAUGACAUGGAGCUUGAUCAGCUGGAUGUCAAGACUGCAUUUCUACAUGGGAGACUUGAAGAGGAGAUUUUGAUGACUCAACCUGAAGGGUAUACUGAUCCCAAGAAGCCUGACUAUGUUUGUUUGCUGAAAAAAUCACUGUAUGGUUUGAAGCAGUCCCCAAGGCAGUGGUAUCUCAGGUUUGAUGAGUUCAUGAUAUCACAUGGAUACUUGAGAUGCAACUAUGACUGGUGUGUAUACUACAAGUUGGUAAAAAUAGAUCUCUACAUAUAUUUGUUAUUAUAUGUAGAUGAUAUGUUGGUUGCUUGUAAGUCUAGAACUGAAAUUGAAGCUCUAAAGCAGUUGCUGAAUUCUGAAUUUGACAUGAAGGAUUUGGGCCAAGCAAAGAAAAUCCUAGGGAUGGAAAUCAGAAGGAACAGGGAAAGAGGAACUAUGUUUCUCACACAAAGGAAGUAUCUAGAAAGGGUACUGGCAAGCUUUGGCAUGACAGAUUGUAAGUCUGUGAAAACUCCACUUGCUGCACAUUUUAAGCUCUCAAGCUUACAAUGUCCAAAGUCAGAUAAGGAGAAAGAUGAAAUGUCAGCAAUUCCUUAUGCAAAUGUUGUAGGAUGUAUGAUGUAUGCAAUGGUCUUGACUAGGCCAGAUAUAUUACAUGCUCUCAGUGUGGUAAGCAGGUACAUGGCUUCACCUGGACAAGACCACUGGCAAGCUGCAAAGUGGAUACUGAGAUACCUGAAAGGCACACUUGAAUAUGGAUUAGUCUAUGGCAGAUCAGAUAGGAAAGAGAAUGGAAUUUGUGGUUUUGUUGAUGCUAAUUUUGUUGGAGAUUUAGAUAGAAGGAGAUCAUUAUCAGGCUACAUGUACAUGUUCAACGGCUGCUUGAUUGACUGGAAGGCUAACCUACAACAUGUUGUUGCCUUAUCAACAACAGAGGCUGAAUAUACUGCUGCUACAGAAGCAGUUAAAGAAGCUCUGUGGUUAAAGGGUCUCAUGGGAGAGCUGGGAUUGGCUCAAAAGACUGUUGAAGUGUUUUGUGACAGUUCAAGCGCAAUCUAUCUGAGCAAGAAUCCAGCACAUCAUGAAAGAACAAAACAUAUAGACAUAAAACUUCAUUUCAUAAGAAAUGAAGUGUCCAAAGGAAUUGUGAAAAUGGUCAAAAUCCAUACUGACAGUAAUCCUGCUGAUAUGCUGACGAAGGUGGUUUCAAUAGCCAAGCUCAAGUUCUGCUUGAACAUGGCUGGUUUGUGUGGUUGGUGAUGCACACAUGGAGAGGAACAAUGUUGAUCAGGCUGAUUUGUUCAAGGUGGAGAAUUGUUGAGUUAGCUGGUGAAGCAAAUCAGAAGGAGAUCGAAACGACGUGGGAGUGUUGCGUUUCGAGGAAUAACUUGUAUAAGUAAAACGAAACUGUGAGUUGUCGUUUUAGCUUUAGAAAGUCACAAGCUCGUCACGUGUUGAAGCCAAGUCGUUAAGGGUCGUUUAUUUUCACGUGAGAAAAGCGUGAGCUUCUAGGCUUAGGGAAUCAAUUAAAAAGCUGUUAACACAGCUGGUUUUCGAAGAGCAAAAACAGAGAGUAUUUUCAAGAGAGAUUGAGAGAAGUUCGAGUUAAAAAGAUCAGCUUCUUGGUCUCUGAAUUAUAUUCUGUAAAGUCUCAUUGAAAUUCCUUACAAAUCAAUAAAGCUGACCAUAUUGUUUCUCCGUGGAUGUAAGCUGGUGCAAAACAGCUGAACCACGUUACAUUGUCUUUGUUCUUGAUUCUUUGUUAACUCAAUUCAAUUUUUCAUCUGUGUUUCUAAUUGAUUAAACUUAGCCAUAAUCAAAUAUUGUGAGCAUCUUGUUUGGUCUGAUUAGAGAGGUCUUGGGCUGCAAUUGGUGUUGACUGGUUUAUUGUUUUGGUCUCACGAAUUGCAACAUAAUACUAAUUUAUUAUAUAUAAAUCUACCUUUUGUAUUAGCUAUCAUUAAAUUAAUUUUAAUUUUACUGAUAGUGAGAGGCAAACGCGUUUAAUAUUAACACUAACGCGCUAAUGCAUUUUUGCCACUAGAGAAGCACGAGUAAUUUGAUUUGUUUAUUUAUGAUAGACGUCAUUUAUCAUUUGAUUAUUAUAUAAAACAUUUUAUAAAUGAUUAGGCGGAUUUAAGUAUAGAUAAAUUAGUCGGUCCUCUUAGGCUCAUGUUUUAGAUAGACCCUAAUUUUUUAGUUAUUUCUCUAAAAUACUCUAAUUAAUAAAAAAAUUAAUUACAUACGGCAACUAUUUUAGAUAUUUCUUUAAUUAAUAAUUAUUCUACAACUAAGAUUUAUUUACACAAAUUCUAUAUUUGACAACUUUGAUGAUAAAUAGCUAUAAAAAAUUUGUGUUAACUAAUUGUUUAUAUAUCAUUGCAUGAGAUGACUAGCAAUUCAUAGAGACAUUUUGCAUUUUAACCAAUUUACUUGAUAGCAAAAAUGAUGCUGAGUAAAUUUUACUAUUAAUUAAAUUAAAUUGAAUUAUAUAUAAUUUGAUCUCAAAGUCUUGAGAUGGAUUGGAAAAUGGAAUCAAGAAUAAUUUGACAGUGACACCGGUUCCUUGUUUCUUUGAAUUUAAUUAUGAUUAUUUAUUUAUUAUUUAUCUUUUGUUUGGGUGAAUUUAUUUUAAUUAGUAUUGUUUGAGAUAAGGCACAAUUCUUUUUAUUUAUUUUAUUUAGUUUUUUAAAAUAAAUUAUAAAAGAUUAUCAUCUUUAUCGUAUUUUUAUAAAAGCAGAGUAAAUUAUGAAAAAUGAAGAAGAAAAAAAUGUCCAGAAAUUGAACAAAAGUCUAGUUUGUGGGCGUGGUUUGUGAAUGCAGAGUGAAAAAGUGCACCCAAAAACAGAGCUCUACUGACCAAAACACCACCAUGCACCAAUAAUUCAGCCAGCGACGACCAAAGCCCCACGACGUCAAUCCACGCAUUUCCUCCGCUACUGCGAGGAAAUUGCACCAUUUAUGCCACGAAAGUGGCGUAAGCACUAAGCCGUGCUCUACUAAUUUCAACAAUACGACAAUUCUCUAAGAAAAGUUAGUCUAGCGACGACCAAACACAACCACGAAGGCGCGUUUCCACCACUAGAAAAGCAUGAGUAAUUUGAUUUUGAUUAUUAAUCGUAUAGAUGUUAGUUAUCAUUUGAUUAUUAUAUAAAAUAUUUUAUAAAUAAUUAAUUAAAUAUUUAUAUAAUCUAUUUAUUUUAUUAAGAUCAGUUUUAAGCAUACACAAAUUAAGCAGUCGGCUGAACUCCAUUUUAGUUAUUUUUUCAAUAAUACUCUAAUUAAUUUUUGAAAAAAAAGAUGUAGUUUCUUAAAAUAUAAAGUUCAUUGUCAUAUCUUAUCAAUAAUUCAUCAUCUCAACCAUCUAAGUGCUAUUAUUUUAAAUAUUUUAUUUAAAAUUUAUAUUGUUCUUAUUUAUUUAAUUUAUAAAAGUUCUGCUCGAAAUAAAAAAGAUCUCUUCUUGAUUUUUUAAGUUUUUUUUUAAAUAUAGUUGGAUGUUAUUGAUUAUUGCUGAAAUUCAAGAUAUAAUUAAAUUUGGAUGAAUUUUGAUAUCUUUUCUAUUUUAUUUAAGUGUUAAAGGUUUUGAAGAUAAGGAGUCUCUUGAAAAAAAUUUGCCUAAAGUCUUGCAAACUCUAGUUAGAGCCAAUCUUGAUUUUAUUUAGUAGGCAAUAAUGUAUCUCACACGCACUAUCUCUAUAAUAAUGUAUAAUUUAAAUAAUUUACUUUGUUUAUGAUAAUUAUGAAUGAAUACCUAAUAACUAAUUUAUUGUAUAUUUAAUGUUUUAUUAGUUUUCUUCUUUACUAGAAAUCUUGUCAUAAUUUUUAAGCCGUUGUUAAAAAAAAGUAACAUUUAAUUAUGUUAAAUCAACAAAAGUUAAAUUACAUGAAAUCAUCCGCAUUUUGAUUUGUGAAGACUGAAGAGUAAAGCUGGCAAGAGCAAGUAAUUGUUACUUUUUUGAGGAUUUUUAAAAAUUGUUUAGGAUGUUCUUGAUUUUUGUUGAAAUUCAAGAUACAAUUAAAUAUGGAUGAAUUUUGAUCUCUUUUCUAUUUCCUUUUAGUGUUAAAAGUUUCGAAUAUAAGGAGGUCUCCUUUAAAAAAAUAGAAUUUGCUUAAAGCCGUGCAAACUCUAGCUGGAGCUAGUCUUGAUUUUCUUUAGUAGGCAAUAAUGUAUUUUAUAUGCACAAUCUCGUAUGUAAUAAUGUAUAAUUUAAAUAAUUUACAUUUGUUUAUGGUAAUUAUGAAUGAAUACCAAUAACUAAUUUAUUAUAUAUUUAAUUUUUUUAUUAGUUGUCUUCUUUACUAGAAAUCUUGUCAUAAUUUAUAAGCCGUUGAUCAAAAUAAAAAGUAACAUUUAAUUAUGUUAAACAGUCAAAAGUUAAUUUGAUUACAUGAAAUAAAUGUCUCAAAAUAUAUGUAAAAUAUUUAAAUUAAAAUAAUCUUAAUGAGGAUUUAUACACUUGCAUAGUUCAUAAAUAGUUUGAAUUCCAAAUAAUAUAUAAUGAAUCAUUACUUACUGUUUGUUAAAUAAGUGCCUAUAUUUGCGUGAUAUGAUUAAGCAGUUCAUAAAGACGUUUGGCAUUUUAACCAAUUACUAGCUGGUAAAAAUGAUACUGAGUAAAUAAUUAUUAAUUAAAUUGAAUUAUAUAUAAUUUGAUCUUAAUGUCCUUGAGAUGAAUUGGCAGAUGGAAUCAAGAAUAAUCUGACCAUGGCAAACAGAGUAAAGAGACCAUUUUCAUGGACCUGCACUCCAAUUUCAAGACUACAAAUUAACAAGUCAGUCAACCACAAGUUCAUUUCAUUUUUUCAAAAUAUUAUAAUCAAGAAUAAAUUAUGGAUAUGCAUAGUUCAAUCUAAUGGAAAUGAUUCAUUGACCUUUAAGAAGGACAAUUUAUGCUAAUUUUAUACAAUACUUUAUAGUGAAUCAUCCUUAUCAUGUCAUCACCCUGAGCUGUUCUAACAUCGAUAAACUGUUAUUUGUAUUAUUUAGAAUUCAUAAUUAAUCCACUGUCUAUUUAAAAGACACAAUACAUCGUAUUAUUUGGGAUUCAUAAUAAAUCAAACUUAAUAAUAGUUAUUAAAAAACCAUGACGUAGUACAUCAUAUAGAAUUACAUACUGAGAUCAAAACAUACUCUUUAUUUUUUUUAAGCAUGUGCAAACUUUUUGAGUGUAAUGUGAACUGCAUGCCACAAAAGUCAAUAAAAACACGCGUUACUGGUCCGCCUUGCAAAGUUGCAAAAUUAUUUAUUUAAAUUAGAAUUAAGUGACAAAAUGAUUAAGCUUUUGGCAAAGCAAAAUGCAAGUGCAAAGACAAAACAAUGUGGACACCAAUCAAAAUUAAAGCAAAAUAAACAAAAUGAUUAAAGCUUCGCAGUAAACAAAAUGUCUCCUUCUUACUCAUUAUUGCCAAAAGUAUUCAAUUUCGAUAACUGAAAGAUGCCGAAAUUGAAAAUGUCUACUAAUGAGUCUGUUUACUUUUUAAGUCUAGGCAUAUAAUUGCUCCCGUGAUACUGUAUGAUGACAAUAUUACAUAUUGAUUCUAUGAUGCAACUCCAUUAGAUAUCUGAUAUCUCAAUGCCAUGGGAAAUUUCUACAGAAAUGAGCGCUUGCAUCCAAGUAUUUAUCUGAAAGUUGUGAAGAGUAAUUGCUAAUCACACUAAACUCUUGAACUGAUGUUUAACUAUAUUUGGUCUCUUAUAUAUACUCCAGCUUGCCAAAAAUUUUCUUAUGCGUCUAUGUGUAAUAUGCCAUACAGUAUCUUGCUUUCUAGUAUAUUUAUAGGAAGUGUGUAAAGAUGUUUGAAGAGCUUUCACUGUGUUUUAGAUGGUGCUAUAUAUGCAAGAUGCCCUUGAAAAUUGCUUGUUACGUUCAUGCAGCUUUAUUCAAAUGUGGGCAAAAUCCCCAUCAAUUGGCAAUUUACAUGGUCACCAACAAUGCAAUGCAAAGUGUUACAGGCUUACAGCUUACUCGUUAAUGCUAUGUUAUCGUCCAGAUGUAUGAACAGUAAGAGAAAAAUUAGAAGUAGCUUGAAAAAUCUAGAGCAAGCCUUAUUUAUUACUUUCAUCAAAUUACCUGUUAAUUUAAAUGUUGUAAUUCUAGUCAAUUGUAGGAGAUCCACAACGAUUGCAGUCAAUUCCAAAAAUUCUAAAGUACAUCAACGAUUGCAAUUAAUUUACUUGUUUAGCUAUAUAACAAGCAAAAGAUAUUAUGUUUUGUAUUCAUUUAUUUUGAAAAACUAACGUACAAGUAAUAGUUGCAUUAAAUUUAACUAUAUAUGUCAUACGUUCAGUUGUUAGUUGUAUUAAUGAUUUUGAGAGAUACUAUUCAUUCAUUUAGUUAACUUGAUUCUUUCAUUAUGUUAAUUAAUUUGUGAUAUUGGUUUAAUAGGCACAGUUUAAUUACAUUCUAAAAUAUAUAUAGACACAAGAUAUUAUAAAUGAAUCAUUUUCAUAAAUGAUUUAUUCCAAUUAUAAAAUUUAUAAAUGGUCUAACACAAUAAAUGAUAGAACUAAGUACAUGUGUUUUAAGUGAAUAUUAUAAAUUGUAUCAAUAAACUCAUGGGCAAAAUUGUUUGUAACCUAAAAAAUACUUUAUACAAAAUUUAAGUUUCACAAACCUAUAUAUUUUCAUUUUAUUUUCAAAUUUCACUUUGUUAAUUUCAUUAAAGUCAAAUCUUACAUAUAUUUCUAAUUACCUUUAGUUUAUGAAUCGCAAAAGAUUAUUUUAUUUAUAGUCAUUGGAUUGUAAUUAUAGAAUUUUAUGUUACUAAGUAUUAAUACUCUUAUUAUGAUAAUUAAUGGUAACAAUACAUAAAAAAAAAAUUAACUCCAAUAAUAUUUACAUAGGAAAGAAUGAGAAAAAAUUCUUUAUAUAAUGUUAUAAUUUCAUUAUAAACCUGGUUUAGGAUAUUUUAACGUAAAUUUUUGAUGCAAAGUUUGAGCUAUUAAUUUCUCACAAUCUAGUGGUUGAUAUUGAAAGUCAAAACAAUAUUUUAGGAUGUUAUAUUACCCACCAUUGAAUUGCAUGAAUUUAACAGUUUAAAUUUUGUGCUAAAAAUUUAAGUUAAAAUAAGCUAACUCUAAAGGUAUAUAUCUUAACUCUAGAGGUAUGUAUCCAAGCUGUCAUGUAGUUAUAUACACACAUAUAUUUUUCAAUUAUAGUUGUUGAAUAAAAUAUUUCUCAUUUGUUGUGACUAAUAUAGUAUCAUUAAUAAAACAUAGAUCAAAUAAUUUAUGACAAUGCCUUCUAUGAUCAUUAUUGUUUAUUUAAUGGUUUUAUAAUUAAAUUAAUACAAUAAAUUAUUAUUAAGACCUUAUGAAAUAUCUUUAUAUAAAAUAUUAUUAAAAUAAUAUUACCUGUAAAAUUGUAAAGUUAUAGCUAUUACACAAUAAUUUUAAUUUCAAAAUUAUCUGUAUUUUUUAUUUUUUGGGUGUUUUAAAAAUAUUUAUGAACUGAAUAGAUUAAAAAUAAUUUACAGUGUGAAGAAAUACUACAAUUUGUAAAUUACUAGUUAAAUAAUUGCUUAUCCGUUAAAAUUAAAAUAAGGGUAAUUUUUUAUUGUGGGAUUUUUAUUCCAACAUAAUAGAAUUUUUCAGUUGUUAGUUAACUUUAAAAAAAAAAAUUCAACGUUUACUUGCAGCCCGAAGUUUACCUAUUAUUCUUUAAUUAAUUAAUUUUUAUCCACCAUAUUAAAUGAAUGGUAGAGAUUAAAACACUUAAAUUUAAGAGUUCACAACAAUCUCAUUAUCAAUGUUGUAAAAAUUCAUGCACCAUUAUAGAGAUGAGAAGUCCUUAUUAUUAUCAUAAAUUGUCUAUUUUUGUUCAACUUCUCAUAGUUUUGAACUCCAAAAAUAAAGAAUCUGAAGUAUAAUUAGUUGAAUGGAGCUGACUCCGUAGGUUGAAUCAUGUGAGAAUUAAAAGAUUUACAACAAGCCAUACGAAAUUGUUUUCAUCUUUAAAAUUAUUUCUACCCUAGAAAAUCAUUUUUUAAAUGUUUACGUCAGCACUGCCGACAGUCUUCAUUUGCGUUGUAUUUGGAUGCGGGUGUGGAGGGGAAAUGUUUGGUUAGGGGUAAAAUUGUAAAGAAGAUUAAGCGGGGUUUAAAGAGGAAGUUGGAGGUGUGCUAGUAGCACCAAAUUCUCUAGCCUACGUCCAAGUUCAACCAUUAGCAGGGUCAAAGAGCAAAUGGGCAUAUCAUGUCACUGGCUUGUUCUUUUUUUUUUUUUGGAUGAGCAUUAUCACUAUUAUUACUUCAUCUUGAGUCAAUUUAUCUUUUAUUUUAUUUAUGCGAGAAUAGUCUAACAUCAAGUACAUGCUGUGACGGUGUUUCCGAGUGAUUUUCAAACAGUUAUUUAAUUUAUUACUUGAAUUUAAUUUUUUGGAGAAAUAGAAGUUUGGAUACUACCUUUUAAAAUUUAAUGCAUAUUAAAAAUAUGAGACUAUUUGAACCCACCGAGUUUCUCUCUAAACCCUCUUUUUAAUUAAGCCUUUUAUUAAAAAUUAUUUAAUUAAUCUUUCUUCUUUUUCUCUUCUCAAUUUCACAAAUUCUCAUCAAUUCAUUUAGAUAUAUUAUUUUAGUUGCAAUAAUUAGUAUCACUAAGAGAAACUGAACAACCAUUUAAAAAUAAAUGUCAACAAAUUUUUAUCAACCUUGCAAGUUUUUAAAUAUCAAGAAAUUAAUUUUUACCAAAUACCAAAGCUAAUGAAUAUCAAGAACAAAAAACUCUUAUAAAAGAACAAAAAAUAGAGAUCAUGAUAUAUUAAGAAAGGCCAAAAAAAUGAAUUCAAGAGAUAGUAAAAUUAAGUGUUUACUUCACAGAAUGUGAGAGUAGAGAGAGAAUAUGUAAUUAUAAGGUAGAGAAAGAAAGUGAUUAGUGAAUAGUAAUUAUUAGAUUUUUAGAUUUUAAAUUUAAUAAUGAGUUUAUUUUUUAAAAUGGCUUUAGAGAGAAAUUUAGCGGGUUUGAAUAGGUAGCCUCACCUUAUAAAAAAAAAAAAUCUAUGUGGUGCACUGCUAGUUAUCUACUCCUUUUUUUUUGUCUUUUUCUAGUUCAAUUACUUACAUUGUAAUCCUUAUUGUUUUCUAUAAAAAAAAAAAACUCAACAGUUUCAAAAUUUUUAUACAUGAAUCCUUCUUUAUGUCAAUCUACUUUUCUAUAUCAACACAAAAACUAUAUUUCCACAUAAACCAAUAAAGUUAUAUUUAGAUGUCGAAUAAAAGGUAGGAUUAGAUUAAUUUGGAAGAUAAAAAUAUUAGCCCAAUCCAGAAUCAUGUUCAUUGUCAGGAUUAACAAACUUGUCCAAAUUUUAGCCCAACAUUUAUAGGAUUAUUAAUCUCCAUCACAUAGAUUUAGAUAAGAUUAGAUAUCUUCUAAUCUAAAUUUGUUACUGAUAUUAAAAUUUUAUUCAAUAAUUUACCUUAAACUUCUUUUAAAUUUAAGAUGAAAUCAAAAAUUUAUUUCAACAAUUUAUUUUAACUAGAUUGUAAUAUGUUAAAGAUAAAAAAUUAUUCAAUUAUUCAAUUACAGUAAUAUCAAAAAGUUUAAAUAUUACAUUUAACAACUAAUAAUAUACUUUAGAAAUAAAAAAUUAUUUAAAUUAUUAUUUUAACUUCACUAAAUUAAAUUUAAUAUGAUUUUAUCCGAAACUGUAUUAAACAAAAGAUAAUACUAUAUAAUUCAAUAUAAUUUUAAGAAUUAAUCCAAUACAAUCCACUCUUUAAAAUUUUACUUUUAUUUUCGCAUUUAUAUUUUCAACCCCUUAAUAUUAUUCUAUUGAUAAAUUGAAAAAUCAAGAUUUUCUCAAUAUUUGAUCUUCUCUUUAUUAAAUACAAGGUGAUUUAUCCUUAAUUAAAUAUAUUUAUUAAUUCAUACCGAACACAAGAUAUUUAAAAGAAAGGUAAUUUUUAAAAAUCUCCGCUGAAGUUUGGGGUAUUCUUAUUUUGAUAGAAUGUAAUGGCAUAUUUUCAUAAACCUUCCCUCGUGAGUAUUUUAUUUUCUAUAAAUUAAGCUGACGAGGGUAAGAUCGUAAUUGAAUAAGUUAAUAACAAAAAAGUUCAAACAAAUUUAAUAUUUUCACCUUGGGCUUUGAAAUUGGUUUGAACUUUGUUAAUAUCCAUAGAGAAAUAGACUGAAACAUGCUUUUACACUCCGUACAAUGAAACGUGCUUUUGCUCAACAUAUAUUUAAUACAAAAUGAAAAAAUCUCAUCUCUUUCCUCUACCAAAUCCGAAGCAACCAAGCUCAAACUCCAUUUCAUUUCUCUCUUAUACUUUCAUCAAGUAUUUUGCCCAUAAAUUGAGGACAAUGGUGGAGCUUAUGACUCCAAUAUGGGCGAUGAACGAUUCAUGGCUGCGAGGUGAGAGAGUACCGACCAAUGAGUUUCUUUGGUUAUCGGUUAAUAUCCUGCUUCUUCCGAGCCACGAAUGAGGUAUGUAUCAAAGAACUUUCAGUGCAUGUUAUUUUUUGCUUGCUUUGUUGAUGAGUUGAGUAAAAAUAUGAAAAUGGCUCUUCAAAAAUUGAUUGAAAAUGUGGCUGAUACUUCUUAUUCUUUUCAUAAAUUAAUGUUAGUUGUAGUGAAUAGAGUAACCCAAAUGCAUGUUGACCGGUUCACCAGUUCCACCAACUAGACGCUUAGAGUGAUUCAGUCGAUACAAAGGUGCGCUUGAAGUUUGUAAUUAGUAUUGUAUAAAAGAAAAUGCUUGAAUCCUUCCAUGGAUAGCUUUCUUGUGUUUGACAUGCCUUGAUUGAAUUUAUAAGCACUAGGAAUAAAUGUAAUAUUUAUGGGCAUUAGAUAUUUUGUAUUAUUGAGAUUUUGUAAUUUUAGAAAAUCUAAGAUUUUGUUCAUGUAUGUUGUGAUUUUCCUUAAAAGUUUUAAGAUUGUACGUGUAUGUUAUGCUACAGCAUGUUAAUACAAAAUUCAUUUGAAAGAUUAUCUUCAUCAACUAUGUUUUGUAGUUUUAAACGGUUGCCAACCAUUUUGUGUCGGGUCAAUGUGUUUAAUCUUUAAGAUUCACAUAAAUGCUUUGUUUUGGAUGCUUAUCAAUUUUAAUUUCAUCAAUAGAAAGUGUCAAUAAUGAAGCUGCAGGAUAGGACUUGAUAUUAGCUUACAUUGAAAUGAUAAAGUAAUGGAUCCAUAAUGUUAAAAGAAGAAAAACAAGACAGAAAUUUUGUGAUAGAUCAACUACAACGACUUGGCGGUUGGCAAUAACUUGUUAUUUUUGUUAUAAACAAAAUCUUAUAUUUGUUAUACAUGGUCUCUUUGCAUUAAAUGUCUACAAAAUGUUGUUAGAUUGAACAGAAAUAUAAGUUGCCACUGCUGUUGAAAUCAAGUAUAUAGUAGUAUGUUUUGCAACAUGACAGUGUUUGACAAUUAGAACCAUAAUUGUUUGAAUCUACUUAUGUUUGUGUUUACAUUAUCUUCGUGACUUAUAUAUUCACAAUAAGUUGUAUACUAAUACGAUGUUUUUAUUAAUAAAGGGAAAUUAACCCAAGCCUAAAGAGAUAGUCGAUAGUGAAUUCGGUAGCAGUUGCUUUGGCAGCAAGAGUGUUCAUUAAGUAGUAGCACCAAAGUCCAAACUAAUCCCUUACGGCAUAUUUUGAAAUGAUCAGAUGAUACCUCACAUUUCUUAUGUAAGCCCUAAAUUGUAGAGAUGUUGCAUCAUCUUUUACUUGGUUUUAUUGAGGUUUUUGUAUAUUAUACUUAGAAACUCACUCCAGUGACAAGGUUAGUCUUGCCUUUGUUAGUAGUUAUCUUAGUAAACUGUUAUUAGUUGCUCACAUGUAAAUAUGGACUACUGUUGAGUUGUAAGGCUAAUUGGAUGACAACCACUGAUGACUGACUACAUUAAUAUCGCUGUUGGAAUUUGUUUAUAUGUACCACAUGGCUGAGCUAUGUUUCUACAUUUAAGUGCUUGCAUUUACCUAUAUGGAUUAUAUCGCGGCUGAAAUUCUUUUAAAUACAUCACAUGGUUGAGGCAUGUUUUUAUACUUCAAUGGAUGUAUUUGUAUUUAUGUCUAUAUUGAUGUUGAGAUUCUUUUAUAUAUAUCACAUUCAAGGGAUUAGGAAAUUGUUGUUGAUUGAUUGAUUUUAUAAUUAUUGCAUUAAUCUUCUUAACUGUUUGUGUCUUGAUUCUAACUUGCCAAAGUGAUUUUGCUAUUGAAUAUGGUAUUCUAAAAUUUUUUAUUUAGGCUUACAUAUGCAUAUUACUUGGAAAACACUAUUACAUUAAAUAUAUAAAACAAUAGAUUUAGGGACAUAUUACGUAAGGGUCAUAAAAUGUAUUUGAUUAGCUUGAUGUGCUUAAGCUUUAGGCACACAUUGGCGUGCAUAAGUGUUCCAACUUUGUAUAAUGAUUGGAAAGUGGUGAGAUUUGAAUGAUUUUUGAAGAGUUUGUAGAUGCAUGGUUGAUAUGGAGGUAUGAGAGAAUAUUGGCAGUGAUGUUUUGAUUAUGUUGAAGGAAGAAGAAAGCUUUAGUUAUGAGAAGCAGAAGCUUUGUUGUUGUUGAGCUUGGCAAUGGCUAAUUAUAUAGACAACCAACAUAAAUAUUGGCAGCAACAAUUAUAAUUUCUAAAUUUAUUUUUAAUUUUUUAUCCUAAUUCAGCUAAGUUAUUUUGGGAAUGGAUGAGGAUGAUUUGAUAACUUUAUUGUAUUUGUAGCUGUUGGCGCCAAAGCAAAUAUAAUGCUAUUAACCAACAAUACACUGUUCUGAACAUGAAAAACUUGUUUUUCUUAAGUCAAGGGUAUUUUAGUCAUUCUGUCAGUCAACAAACAGUCUAAAGAUAGAAAUAGGAACGCAAGGGGAGGUUUGUGAGAAUAUGUGAAUACAUUCUAUUAAAGUUAGAAUAUCCCAAACUUCAGGGGAGAUUUCUAAAAAUUAUCCUUCAAUUAUAAGAUCUUGCAAACAGUGAAGUUAAAAUUACUUUGAUUCUACUCUUCUAUUUUGUUUAUCCAAUGAGUUGUCUAUUUUUGGGGUUUCCCCAUGAUUUUUGUUUUGUUUAUUUUUGAAAUUAUCAGAAAAAAAAGAUGCUAUAGUCAGCAAUGUUUGGGCUCACAUGAACAUGAUGUUUUAUGUUAUGGCUAUCACUAUAAUGCUUUGUUAUCAUUGUUAUUAUUAUUUGAUUUGCAUAAAACAAAAAAAUUAAAAACGUGCAAUUAAGAGUAAUUAUAAACUUUUAAUUAAGAGUUGAAUUAUAAUAUUUGAUCUAUAUCAAUAUAUGACCAUAUAUCAAAUAUCAAAAUAGAGUUAAGAUUUAUAAUAUUUGGAUACGAUUAUAUGAAUUUGAAAAAAAAAAUUGUCUAUUUUUUUUACAAAUUAUUUUAUUUUAUUAUAAAUUUUGAAGUCGGUCGAAUGUGGAAAUUUACUUCAUCAAUUAAUUUAAAAAGGUACUAUAUAUAUGACAUGGUUGGUAAAUGUUAAUAUAAUGGGUGGGUAUGACCAAUAACUAUGCAUUUAUUUUAAUUAAAGUAAUAUGGAUAAAUUUAUUAAGAGUAGUUGUCAAUUUGUCAUCAUCACAGCCAUCACAUGAAGUCGUGGCACAAGAAAUUUUAUUUUUUUAAAAUGAAAAAUUAAUCACACUGAUUAACAAAUAAUUAUGAUGGAUGUAUCAUGAUUAACUAUGGCCAAUGGGCCGUGCCGGCAGCCCACAAGGGCUCGUGGGCCGGCACGGCCCACUAAAUUGGUGGGCCGUGCCGUGCCGUGCCUACAUUUUUUUCAAUUGAGCCCGGCACGGCCCACGGCACGAGCGGGCUCGUGCCGUGCCCAAAAAAAGCCCACCAAUUUUUUUUUUUUUUAGCGUGCUUAAAAAAACCCACGUGCCUAGCGUGCUUUAUUCAAGCCCACAUGCCUGACGUGCUUUUUUAAGCCCACCAACAUAAUAAUAAUAAUUAUAAUAAUAAUAUUCACAAUCAUAAUCAUAUUAAUUUUUAUUAAGAGAGCAAUUAACAUUUUAUUAUUAGUUUAUCACAAUUUCACAACUAUAUAUUUUAUUUCACAAUAAUCAAUCAUAAUUCAUAACACAACAAUACAUAAAUUUAAUUCCAUAGAUCAUAAUAAUAAUUAAUUAAAAUUAAAAAUACAAUCCUCGAAUAAUCAUUACAAUAAGUCAUAACUACGAAAUAUUAAUAUAACAAAUCAUUUAUUUAAACUAAGAUUUAAUGAUUUAAAUUAAUUUUUAAAAGUCUAUGCUAAAAAAUAUAUUAAAACAUUUAAUUUCAUAACAUUUUAUAUUUACUUUUUGUUAAAAAAAUUUACUUAGAUAUAUUUUGGCCCACGUGCUAUUAAUGGCUCACGGGCCGCGUGCUAGCCCACUAAUGAACCGUGCUUAUUACGUGCUUUUUCGCGUGCCGUGCUUUGGCCCAUCUCUAAUCGUGCCGUGCUUUAAGGCCCGCGUGCUUAAAAUUCUAGGCCCGGCACGGCCCACGUGCGUGCCGUGCCGUGCCUCGUGCCUCACUGAAACGUGCUCAUGCCGUGCAGUGCCGUACGGACACGUGCCGUGCCCGUGCCGUGCCACGUGCCGCCCGGCCCAUUGGCCACCUUUAAUCAUGAUUAGGGGUCGGCAAAAUCGGGUUUGGGUCGGGUUCGGGUCAACCUGAUCGGGUUUCGGGUUAGACAAUAAUUAAUCCGAACUUAACCCGAAUUAGUGACCCAAUCUGAUCCGACCCGAAUUAUCAGGUCACUAAUUCAGGUUAAGUUCGGGUUGGGUCGGGUUGGGUUUAAAUAACUAAUAAUUUAGCAUAUAUAACUAUUAAACUAUAUAUAUAUACCAUGAAAUAUUGAAUUUGAAAUUAUGAAACUUCAAAUCUUCAAAAACGAGUUCGAGUCACAAAGCCACAGCACAAAGGAGAAAGUUCGGGGUCGGGUCGGGUUGGAGGCUUCAGCCACGGCAGCAGAUGGCAGUAGCUCACGGCAGCAAAUCGCGGCAACAGAUGGCAGCAGAUCGUGGCAGCAAAUCACCUGUUGGGUGUCGGUUUCGGCAGCAGAUUGAAGAGGGUUCAGAGUCAGACUUCAAGUCUUUGGUUUCGGCAUCACUCACAACAGAUUGGUUCUGUUCUGUGUGUUGUUUGUGUGUUUCAUAGUGUAUGACUAUGUGUGAAUUGUUGUGAGUACUUGUGAGUUGUCAGCUGUGAGGGUUUGCCCUUUGCCGUCUGCCUCGGGUGUGCAGUGUUCGUGUGUAUUGUGUAAUGUGUAAACUGUAAACUGUAAAGUAAAGCGUAAAGUGUAAUGUGUGAGUGAGUUUUUUUUUUUUUUUGGGAGACCCGAUCGGGUAUUCGGAUCAGGUCGGGUUUAAACCAACCCGAUCACAGCCCGAUUGGGUUAGCACUUUCUCAUCUGAUCGGGUUGCCAUAGCAAUCCGAUUCGACCCGAACCCGACCUUUUUUAGGUCGGGUCGGAUUGGAUUUGGUAUUUUGCCCACCUCUAAUCAUGAUGGACUUCAUAAAUAAAAUAAAAGAAUUCGUCAUACUUUUUUAAAGACUUGCAAUUUAUGAAUACAAAUGGGCCUCUAGCAACUGGUUAGGGUUCAAUUUGGGCCUUUGAUCAUAACAAAUAAACAAUACAAAAACUCAUAUUUUCAGUACUAUAGACUAUACUUAUCUCCAUAAGCAUGCAUUUAAUUUCACAAAUUAUUUUCAAUUAUUUUUGUUAUUAUUUAGUUAUUUUUUAAGUAGAGUUUUUAAAAAUUAAAUAAGUUAUUUUAUCUCUGCCACUAAAAACUCAAAUUUUAUACUUUUAAAAGUAGUGGUUGAAAUUUUUUUUAAAAUAUUAAAACAUCUAAAAUAUCCUUUACUUAUUUACUUAUUUUAUUUUUUAUUUUUAAAACAUAACUUAAAAAAACUUACCUAUCAAAGUAAUUUUUUUUAAAAUUUUCAAUUAAAACUCUCAUGGACCACCAAAUAACUAAUUUUCUUUAAUAAAUCUCCAUUUAUAAAAGUUCUUUUAACAAAAACUAUACUUAAAUAAGUUUUCUUUAAAACAUUAUACCAAACAAUGCCUUUGCACUAUAUAAAAAAAUAAAAUAAAAAAUAUCCUAAUUGUUGCAAGAUUUUUAUCUCGAUAACUCCAUCACAAUAAAAUUCGUGAGUGCUCUAAUUGUCCUCUGAUGUUUUAUGGUCAUGAGUUUUGUGUUGUGCCACUUAUUCAUUUCAUUAAUAAUAAAAGAAAAUGGUUUGAGACUUUGAGUAUUUACAAAAAAAAAAUAAAAUAAAAGGGGUUGAAUCUCCCACAAAUUUAAAAUAAAAUUGCACCUAAUUUAAUUUGAGUAAUGCAGCACUUAUAUUUUUUAGAAGUUUUGCGGUUGAAUUAUGAAAUUACAAGAAUUUUAUUUUUUUUGUUAAUUUAAUUUAUAAUUAGUGGACUAAUUCAUUUUUAAUAUAUUAGAUUAGUAAAAUACAAAAAAAUUUAGUUGAUUAAAUUAUAUAUUUAUUAAAUUAUAGGUAAACUUAUAAUUUAUUAAAUUAUUAAUUUAUCGAUUAAUUAAUAUAUGUUUAAAUUAAUAAAUUUUAUAUGAUGCACACGUUAUUAAUUUAUAAACAAUUGAUUGUACUUUGAAUUCUUUGUUUCCAAACUAAACCUUUAGGCAGACAAAACUAUUUUUACUGCAACGGUAUGCAAGGACGCGAAGGAUCUGCGUCAGCACAGCCUUUCGGUCGCCGUUGAUUUUACAUACUACAACAAAGUCAGCUUUCAUCAGCCACCAUCAAACCCACAUCAACUUCGAUCACUUCCCAGUAAUUGAUGAUUUUUCUUCAUGUUAUUUCUUAAUUCCUAUAAUUUUUAGAAUCCUUAAACCCUUGAAGUAGUUGAAUACAGAAACGGAGGAUGUCAGUGUCGUUUUCAAAAUUUCCAGCACCAUUCCCGGUUAGUUUUCUAUACAUGGGAUUGUCUAUUUAUUUCUUUAUUUUUGUUUUUAAUUGAAAAAAGUUUUGUUUGUUUGAUGACUUUUGUUGAAACUGUAUGUGGGUUGUUUGGUUUCUAGAAAAUGAUGAUAGGAAACUAUAAUUUGUAGAUGAUCUUAAAGAACUGUAUUGCAUGAAAUUAAUAAUGUGUAUUUAAUUUUCAAUCUGGCAUAAUUCUUUGGAUUGAAAAUGAAAGGAUAUACGAAUCUUGAUUAAGUGCAUUUCAUUGGGAUUUUUCAGCAAUUAAAAUUGGAUUUUGCUUCUUCCAAUGAGUUUUGCGUCCAAUUACAUAUUGAAACACUUCAAUUUGUGUCAUAGUAUCUGAAAGCACCUCACGAGUGCUAUUGUUAUAUGUAUUGGCAUUUUCAGUUUUGUUACUGUUAUUACAUGGGAAAACUUGGUACCUUGCUUCACUAAUUUGUCGGGUAGCAGUAGUUGCAUCUUUGGCAUGAUAGAGCCUUAUAAAUGGGGAGUACAACCAUAUUUGCUAAAUUUCGAGUAUAAUAGAGUCGUACACUAGUUAUGCUAAGGCACAAUUGUCUUGCUUUUGUUGUAUCUAGGCAACAGGAAAAAAUAUUCACACAGUAACCAGUGAUCGUUUUGUGCUCUAUGGAGGUUCUGCCACUAUAUGCCAAAGGUUUUGUGGCUUAAAGCUAUGGUUACUUGACAGACUGAAACUUAAGCAUUGCAGUAAAAAGCAUGGACUAAGUGAGUCCAAGAUUAUAAAGAAUCAAGAUAAGUUAGAUAGUCAUCUAGAAACUAGUUCAUCAAAUGAUGGACGAGAUUCUGAAGGAGUUUCAACAUUUUCUGUACCUAAUGGUCAGUAAAGACUAUUCUAAGUUAACCUUUUUAUUUUUGUCAUUUGUUAUGUCUAUCAAUGUGAAUUGAUCUUGGUAUAUUCAUUUUCUCAUACUUUUCAAUUGGAAACUUACAAUCUCUAGAUUGUGGAACUUAAUUUUCCAUUGUAGUUACGAAAAGACCAACUUCAAAAUUACAAGCACAUUCCCCAAAUUUUCCUGUUCAGAGCGAUCAAGCACCUUCACUUUGCAUUGCUGUAAUAGGAGCCACCGGUGAGCUAGCAAGAAGGAAGAUAUUCCCAGCAUUAUUUGCUCUCUAUUACAGUGGCUUUCUUCCGGAGGUAGUACCACAAUUUCUUUAUCUUGAAAGGCCUCUUUGCCUUUUAUCUAGAGGUGCUACAGCUAGAGUCUUCUUUUUUCACCAAGCCUGUUGUUUUCAUUGUUGCAGUUACUAUGUAUUUACUUUUCUGAAUCAUUCUUCCAAUUAUGAUGUUAUGCGCAUCAAAACAUAUUCGACUUGCUUAUACUAUGGCAAGGAAAAUGGGAUGUUCCAAUAAAUUGAAUGAAAGAUAUUGUUCUCAUCAAUAUUUUACAAUUUUCCAAACUUGUUCUAAAAAUUUUUGGUGAAUUUUUGCUUUUUAUUAUUUUUAUCAUUUCUUCCUGCAGAAUGUGGGAAUCGUUGGUUAUUCAAGAAAGAAUUUGACAGAUGAAGACUUGAGGUCCAUCAUAGCUUCAACUUUGACUUGCCGCAUUGAUCAUCGGUAUGGUUCUCAUACAGUCAUACAAAUUCUCUUUCCUACCAUUCAGUUUCUUAUUCUAAAUCCUUGAGUGAGUCAAAUUACUGCCCCUUAUAAUUUUCGAAUGCAACGUGCACAAAUGCUAGAAGUUGCCUGAAUGAUCGAAAUCCAUGGUUGGCAGCUAUUUAUAUGCUGAUUGGGUUUCAUCAAUUUACAACCUUAGGAUCCUUUUGGCUACAUUCGCCAAAGUUUUCAAAGAGAAGGAAAAAAAAAAAGGAGGGGGUGGGUUAGCUUCAUGUCACAUUCUGUUAGCUAGUUGCUAGGGUGGGAUUUCUAUUGAUUUAAAGGAAUUAUUAGUGUGUUUUGAAGGACCCUCUCAAGUAAAUCAACAUGCAACCAUUGUUUAUGGAAAGGGCUUUGCAUCUAUGCAAGCAUUAGACUUUUGAAAAUGUGUUAAGUUGAAAUAAAUGCAACCAAGGCUCAUGAUGUAGUCUUUCAAGUUAGUUUGAUUGCUAUAAAAUUAGAAUAGAAUGAAUUGAAGAAGUUUAAUGUGGCAUUUGUUCCUCAUGAUUUUAACAUCUUUUCAGGGAAAACUGUGGGGACAAAAUUGAUGCCUUUCUCAGUAGAACAUAUUAUCUUAAUGGUGGUUAUGACAACCGAGAAGGGAUGUUAAAGCUCAGCGCUUUGAUGGAGCAUAUCGAGGUGAGGUUGAUAAAAUCACAAAUCGGUGCUGUUUACAAGUAUCUAGCUUUAUCAUGCUUCCUGUUUUAUGCAACUUUAUGGUAUUACUUGGAGCCUAAAAAAAGAAAAAAAGAAAAAAUAUCAUAAUGAAACUAUUUGGCAUGAUCUUAAAAUUAUGGGCAUCAAAUUGUUGGGCUAUUAGCCGCUUACCUAAUAACUUAAGUUUUGUGCGUCUGAUUUAUCUUACAGUACCUGAUGAAAAAUUAAUGUUUCUUCUAUCUUUUCAAUCAUAAUUAUAAAAGAUCAACUUAUGUGCUUUCUUUUACCUCUAAAGAUUUGUUAAAAACAGAGGAGAAAAAUAUAUAUUAAUAGUAGUAAUGUGUGAUAGUUUAUACUAUUCAGUUCAUAUUCAUAUCUUAGAGAGCAAAUCACCCUACUCCAUUCUUGCAUGAUAGUUUUAUUUGUUGUAUCGUUAGUUGUUACAAAAUAAUACAUAAAUCUGGAAAUAUAAUCUGGCAAUACUUAUUAAUUAUACACUUAUUUGUAAUUAUUAUUGAACAACUUUAUAGUACGGAUUGUGUAAAGGUUGGUUUUCUGGAUUCAAUUCCUAAAAGAUAAUAGAUAAUAUAUUUUUCAUCAUUAAAAACACUUCUCAAUUAUUACAUUGUUAAAACAAGGAACAAGAAAGAAACUACAAUGAAGGUAGUAAAUGAGAUAAUGUCGUAAGACUCAAUUCACUUGUGUACAUUCUAGUUUAACCACACCAACUUUCUUUCUGUAUAAUUAAUAUUUCAUACUUUAAAAGUCAACUCUUUUUUGUCCCUUCUUUUCUCAAAUUCCUUAAACUAAAAGUUAAAACAUUUCUUCACUCUUAUAGACUGAGAGUAAUUAGCCAGAAGUAAAAUCAAUAGGGGUUGAUUUGAUUUGUCAAUGUUCAAGCUGGAUGCUUUAGAUAAUUGAUUUUUUAGCAGCUUACCUACCUCAGGGGGGAUUUGAAGCAAACAGGAUAUUUUACCUAUCUGUGCCGCAAGAAGCACUUCUGGAUGUUGCAUCCACUCUUGCCAUCAGUGCCCAAACCCAGAAGGGCUGGAACCGUAUAAUAAUUGAGAAACCUUUUGGGUUUGAUGCACUGUCCUCUCAUUGGCUGACAAAAGCUCUUCUUUCCAAGUUCCAGGAGAAGCAACU